This 49388-nucleotide long non-coding RNA is filed under the name Malus domestica (apple). Its description in RNAcentral is "long non-coding RNA (MDOM_LNC017843)". The record is from RNAcentral. Lineage: Eukaryota; Viridiplantae; Streptophyta; Magnoliopsida; Rosales; Rosaceae.
CUCUCUCAUUCUUUCUCUCACACAUGUCCAUUAUAUCUUCUUAGAAAUUGAUUAAUACUUGUUAUUGAAACAGUUUCUUCCGAGGCUGAAAAUUCUUAAUCUCAGUCAUUCGCAUGGCCUUAGGACAACCUCCGACUUCUCAGGACUCCCUAACCUUGAGAGAUUGAUUCUUAAAGAUUGCAUAAAUUUGGUUGAGGUUGAUGAGUCCAUCGGAUACCUAGAGAAACUUGUUGUUUUGAAUCUAGAAGGCUGCAAAAAUCUCAUGAAGCUUCCAAAAUUGAGAUCUAUUCAGGAUCUUAUUCUUUCUGGUUGCUCAAAGCUUGUGCUUGGUGCCAAUACGACUGCCACAACUGGUCACUUACAAUCUACAGCUUGUGAAAUGAAGAAACUCAAUCUGCUAUCAGCUAAAUCAUGGUAUUCAAUCUGGUCGCAGGUGUCGCCAAGAAAAAAUAUUGAACCAAGCAGUUUCUCAUUGGCAAGUUUACCACAUUCCUUGACAAGUUUACGUCUGGAUAGCUGCAAUCUAUCAGAGAUUCCGAGUGCCCUUACUAUGCUGUCUUCGUUAGAGUACUUGGAUCUGUAUAACAAUCCAAUUACAAGCCUACCAGAGAGCAUGAACAAUCUUGUUAGGCUUCACACUCUUGCAGUAGAAGGUUGCAGAAACCUCACAAUGCUUCCAGAGCUCCCACAUAGUUUGAAACAAUUGAAUGGUAGAGGUUGCACAUCAUUGAAAAGAAUAACAAAUUUACCGAACUUGCACAUAUCACCUACCGUAUAUCCCUUCGGCAUGCAAAAGGACUUAGAUUUAAUGCAUUACAAUAUAGUAUUGGACUCAAAUUUAUGGUAUUGUGGGAAACUAGUUGAUGUUGCAAGCUUGUUCAAUACACUACCAUUGAGCAGCUUUGACAUAAAACUCCUCAAAGAUAUGGAUCUAUUCGAUUUGAAACCCAACGGUGGCGUAGAGGUCCAAAGGAACAACGAUUGUGCAAGUUUUAGCAAGCCAAGGCGCUCCAAGGUUCUCUCUCUCUCUCUCUCUCUCUCUCUGCUAUGUACAAGUGCUUAUAAUAUGAUCUCUAUGGCGUAAACAAUUAGAUUGUAAUCGCAGGGAACUUUUGAAUGCGGCAUAAUUAGCAUUUUUGUGCACGAGAGCAAGAUUCCAGAUCGGUUCAAUUACAGGUGGAUGCCUCCAGAUCGGUUCGAUUACAGGAGCAUGGGUAACACUGUGUUCUCUAUUAUUGUUCCUUCACAGCCUAAUAUCAAGAUCGUAGGUUUAAAUGCAUGUAUACUGUAUGCCCGGCAAUCGGAUCGAAGCCCUGUGAUUCCAUUUGGGAUUCCAUUUGGAAACUCUCAUGCCCAUUCGCUUGAACUUAGGAAUGAGACAAAGGGCCUUAAGUGGAACUUAAGAAUGUCGACUGGGGUUGAAUGGAAAGUGAUGAACGAAGAUAUGUUAUGGCUAAGCCAUUGGAUUAUGGGGAACAAUGAAUUGGAGUGCGGGGAAAAAGUGUAUUUUAGACUAACCGAAGAUCAUGACGAUUUAUUCACAAAGGGGAUUGGAGUCCAGUUUGGGUACGAGCAGCAAAAUAAGGAUAAGGAGGAUGUCCCAUCAAGUAGUGAAGAUCCAAUGAUCCUACCUGACAGAUCGCCUUGGGACGGCGGUCACGCUUCCAGCUGGGUAACGGAUUCAUGUCAGAGAUUUAUCGGGCCGAAAUGGAUCGAGAACCUUAAGAAGGAAUCUAUUUCAACUGUCGUGUGCGCGGCUAAUUACUCUCUCUGUAACCAUGAAGUGAUCGACCUUGAGAACGAGUCCCGCAUGACGCCAUGGUAACGAGUGCUCUAAACUAUUACCCAGGUUAAUUCAAAUUGAUGGUGAUGAUGCACAAAUCACUAAAUUCAAAUGUGUAUUGGUUGUUAAGCUUCGUUUCUAUCCAUUUUCAAUUUUCCCUAAAAAAUUGUUUUCAAUAAAACCUGUUUUGAAGAAAAAUAAAGUUUCAGAGCCCAACUAGAAAAUAAGCCCACGAGUUGUGGUGUGAACUAACUGUUUCAGGCGUAACUGCAUGAAUAAGACACAUUUCACACGUAACUGAAUAAAUAAGACACAAAGUGCAAGAAGUAAAGCUCAUAUUUAGCAGUGUUAUUUUAACAACAAUUGUUCAAGUGGUGGAUUGCCCCGGUGGGUAGGGCAUUUCUCUUAGUCCUACUGCAUUCCGGGUUCAAAGUUCCAACCAUCCCCCGUACCAGUUUAAGCACACCAAAGACCAAAUUUAGCAUGUUCUGUCGUCAUCCACCCAACCCAGCAGAUAUACAAAAUUCAAAUAGAACUUGGCAAAUUCAUCCUCUUAAAAUACAAAACGAAAAUAAUUUAUGAUCACUGACCUCUGAGAAUCGAAUGAUAUUCGGAUUCUUCAAUGAUCUGUGGUUCAUGAUUUCCCCUUGAACAUGUUCAUCCAUCUGCAUCACCAAAAAAAAAAAAUAUUUAAAAAAAAUACAAAAUGAAAAUAGUUUAUGAUCACUAACCUCUUUGGAUCGAAUGAUAUUCGGAUGGUCCAGUGAUCUAUGGUUCAUGAUUUCCCAUUGAACAUGUUCAUCUAUCUGCAUCACCAAAAAAUUAAUAAAUAUUUUAAAAAAAAUACAAAAUUUAAAGGAUAAGAAUUGCGAAGAUUCUUAGGUCUUAGUUCGAAAUGUAAUAGCUCAUCUCACCUCCAUAUAUUACCAAAUCUUAGUCUAUAUGAUUUUGCCAGAGCCACCGAAUGUUGAUAUAUAUCUGUUGCAUGUUCUACUACCAUCAACAUUAUAAAGGUUUCUAAUUGAAUCAUAUAUUUAAAAUCCAAGCAUGAAAGUUUUACAAAGAUAAAUAAACAAAUGUAAAUAACUAAUUAGGCAAUACACAGCAGAGAGGGGAGAGAGAGAGAGAGAGAGCAAUUGAAGGGAAUGCAUAGUUAUCUCUAUCUUCGGAAAAAAAAAAAGAAAAAAAGAGAGCAGUUGAAGGAGUGAGAAGCAAAGCAGCAUACCAAGUGGAGAGUAAGCAAUUAAGCAUAGUCAUCUCACGUACGGAUUGCCUGAGAACUGAUCUUUGCUUCUCUUCCUUAUGAUCCUCUUAAAUGCAAUUCUACACAUUUCUAAACCAAAAUUGCAAAGCAGAAUUCAAAGAAAUUUAAAGAAACCUAGUAAAGAUUCAAACUUUUUUAUUAUCCAAAAGAUGUACAUAACCCCAUGUAACAAAAACAAAUUUAUGACACAAAAGAAAUUAUCUUUAGCCACAAAAAGCAAAAAAGAGAAAGAGAGAGAUUUUGCUUUUUGCACUAUGCAGAAUGUGCAGAGAAUCAAAAUAUCAUAACCCAUUUAACAACAUGAUAUUUUAGGCAAAAAGGCAUCACCUUUAGACCCCAAAUGAAAGAAUUUGAGAGAGAGCGCAUACGUGGUUUCCAAGAAGAGGAAGAGAGCAAUUCUAUUUCCUGUAAAAACGAAGAAACAGAGCAUUAACAAACACACAUGCACAAAUCUCAAAAGGAAAUUGGUAAGAAAUAAUCGUAAUUGAGAAAAUAAUUAGAAAACUAGAGAGGACACAAUUGGAGUCUAAUUCUACAGAACCCACGAGUCAAGACAAACAAAUAUCCAAAAUUAACAGAUUACAGUAACAACAUUCCAACAAAAGUAAGAAGACCAGAAAAAUUAUCUAUUCUAAAGUACAUUAGUUCCAUCAUGCAUAAAUCAAGGGAGUCACGGAAGGCCAGUAUCUUAAGGUAAUCCAACAUGUUAAAGCAUCCAAACAGAGACUCAGAAUUACAAAACGCAUGAAAAUUCACAUUCCAACGUGUUAUGCAAUCACCAAUUUCAGAUCAACCAAAACCAAAUAAAUUUAUAUCAGUACGCAUCAAACCCACCAAACCCAAAAUCAAAAGAAGGUGAUCAAAUGUUUGAUUUUGCUAAAUAUUACAAAAUAAAAUAAAUAAGAAUAUGUACAAAUCAACAUGCAUACCUUGUAGCGGUGCAGGGAACAGUAGCGUGAGCUGCAUCGAGGGCAUGUGUACUGGGAAAAUUGCUACUGGCAGCUGCAACUAACAAAAACAAAAACAAAACAAAAUUGAAUAAAAUCAAAAUUGGAAAAAUUUCCAGAAAAUAAAUAAAACAAAUUAUCAAGCUUUGUUGAUGAAAGAGAGGUGGGGUUGGUGAAGAACAUACAUGCGGCUAUGAGCAGUAGAUAAAAGAUUUCAAAAUGAUUUCUUCACUUUUCAAUCAGGACAUGCACGAAUAUAAAAAUGGCAGAGAGGAUUAAAACCAUACCAAACACUAGAAAAUCAAGUAUAAAAAUCGUACUUACCUUGUGAAUGAGGACAUGCAGACACAUGAUGGAUGAAGGACAGCAAAUCCCGCAUACACGAACCUAACUUGCCAUUGUUCGCCACCCCCACCCCUCCCUAUCUCUCUCUCCCUGCAAUCCCAACGAUUUCUCUCACUGUCAUCCUCCCACUCCCGAAUCGAAUAUCCGCACGAAAUCUCUCUCUCUCUCUCUCUCACUCGGUUUCUCUCACUGUCACCCUCCCACUCCCGAAUCAAAGAUCCGCACGAAAUCUCUCUCCCUCUACAAGCAGCAUGGCCGCUGUCCCUCUCUGUCUGCCCUCACCAUCAAUCCCAAUCCCAAAAUUAAGAUGACAAAAGUGCCCUGCAACCCUUUAAUUCUAGCCGCGUGAUCCUAACCCUAGAUGAAUAUUUCUGGAAUUUGAACACCCAAAGUAUCUCAUCAAAUGUGGAUGUACCUGUCAUAGUAUGAAUCUGAGAAUUUCUCAAUUCAACUCUCGAAUUUACUGUGACAGUAAUAAUAUAUCAUGUGGAAAGAGGUGGGAUUAUGGUAAAAGAUAGAACUUUAGCUGAUGGUAAACAACAUUUGGGAAUUUGAUGUAAGCCGGCUGGGAAUCCCAAAUGUUGUUUACCAUAAGUUAAAAUCUAAUCUCUGAUUAAAAAAAUAAUAAUAAAAAGCACACCUCAAACUGAUAAGGACCAUAAUUUUCAAGGGACACUGCUUUUCAAUGGUUACCAUAAAAAAAAAUAAUGAAAGAACUGAUCAUUUGAAUUAUUCAUGACAGAACCAAUUUUGAUUUGAAAUAUGAUGGCCAAGAACAAAUCACACUGCUUUUCAAUGGUUACCAUAAAUUUUCAGAAGUUACAGAAGAUUUUUUAUCAAUUGAAAAGACAAUGGUCACAUAUAUCUACAAUUAACCACCAGUAAGCGUGAAAUACUACAUCACAAUGCAAUAGCAGCUAUACAGGAUGUCAUGCCAUUCAUACUAUGACAAAUCACAAAAGUGACAAUUAAAGGGCACCUAACAGACACCCCCAUCUCUCUCUCUCUCUGCAAUAGCAGAAAUCCCUCGGGUUUCAGGAAGCAAAUGGAAAACAAAAUGCUUUUACAUCCCCUACCCAUACCCAUACCCCUCCCUUACCCAUUCCCUUUACCCUUGCAGAAAAUCCUCCCAUCUCUCUCUCACCCUUGUCCCAUCUCUCUGUCUGCAAAUCGCAGAAAAGAAACCCUGAACAAAUCACUGAAAUCCCUCGCCUAAAUCCUCCCACAUUUCUCUCAGACACCCUCUAUCUCUCUCUCUCUUUGCAAACCCUAAACCAAAUCUCCUAAAUUCUAUCUCGGACACCCCACAUACAGCCAAGAAGCCAAGAUAUUAAAGCAAUCUCUACAUAAUACUUUGGAACAAUGAAGCAAAAUGGUACUUACUUGUUCCUUGUCCAAAACCGUUGGUGCCGCCGCACAUUGUUAUUAAUUGUGGGUUGAUCAAAUCCUUCAUGGCUUAGACUGCAUGAAGAAUUAGAAACUAAAAGAUGAAUAUAUGCUGUAAAUCAUCAUAUAAAUGUAACUGCAUUUAAAAAAAGAAGGGAAUGAAAAAUUGAAUUCUAUUUCAUCAGUAUGUAACUGCAUGAAAAGUUACAUUGAAUGCAGACUCAAUCAAUUUCCCCAAAGUCAUUGUUAACUGAAAAUCAAUAUCAAACCCAUAAAUACCACCAUUGAAUUUGCGAAACCCAAAAACAAAAUACAAAAAUUUACUCAUAUAAUCACAGAAAAACAUGAAAUUUGAGCACAUAUUUGGCAAAGUUAAAGGAUAAAGGCACUCACAUCAUCGUAGUACUCUUCGGGAAGAACUUCUAAUAAUGGUUCUUCCUUUUUCUUGCUCUUCCUCAGAGCUGCCAUAAAAAAACCCAGAGAAGCACACAAAUUCAGAAAAGAAAAGGUCCAAAACAGCCAUAAAAAAUCCAGAAAGCAUACAAAUUUAUCAGAACAAAAACCAAAUGAUGUGAGAUAGUGAGAGGUUGUGUUAGGCACCCGUAACACGUUUUGGUUUCAAUUAAAACGGCCAGAGCGUUGCAUGCGAGGAAGAUGACGAUAGGAUUCCAAACACAACAUCCACAUUCUUUUUUCUUGGGUGAACUAACCAAAUCAUAUUAUAUACUAAAAUGACAUAAAAAAUCAUUCACAAAAUCACAACAAAAUAGAACAAAAACAUUCACAAAAGAAUUCCCCAAGUUUUCAAAUGGAAAUUAAACAUUUACAUAGCUUAUAUAAAAAGCCGAAAUAUAAAAAUUAAUCAAAAGGUUGAGAUAACUCACAUCCCAGUAAUGCUUAUUGCUGAUAUUAACACCCACUGACAGCAGCCCUCGGUUUGUGGAAUUCCCACGCCCAACUCCAUGACCUCUGUCUCUGCCAUCCCUCUUUCCCUCACAACCAUACCCACUUUCGACCCACCCCUCAAUCCCGACACCAACCCUUGAUUUAAGGAGGAAAAAUCAAUCCAACCACCCUUUUCGCAAGCCUCACUCCUCCCUCUCCCUUCCCCUCCCUGCCAAUCCCAUGCCCAUCUCCCUCGUUGUAGCUCAGCAACCCACGUUUUUUGGCACCAAACACUAUGUCCUAGGAUGAUGUGACAAUUUAUCAAAGUCAGAAAAUGCAUUAUCUCAGUUUAGGUUGGUAGCAUAUAUGAUCCCUGUGCAGCAACAUAGAAUACUUAGUAAAAGUUGCAUUUCUGAGAACAAAUAACCAAUGCUUGACCGAAAAAACAAUGCAGAUGCUUUAGUAUACAGAAUUACAGUUUUAUUCAAGCUUCUCAGUCACAAACUAACCUUCCUUUGUCGAGCAGCAAGGAGGAGGGGGAGAAAAUUGAUUCCUGGAGGAGCUUUUUCGUUCAAAACUAAGUCAAGCUGCAAGGACGAAGGGUCGAGGAUUGUUCGUGAGCUGGUGUUGCGGAUAUAAACAUAUAGAAAGCUCCACUGUGUCAUAACAAACACAAAUUGAAUAUGAUCACCAUGUCACAUUAAUUACCUAAAAUUCAAAAUGUUAUAUACAUUAGUAUGUUGAAAAAAUUAGUUACAUUUCAUUAAACUAAAAAAUUUACAGAAUAUGAGAAAUAAAGAAUUUGUAUUGUUUAUAUAAAAAUAGAAUAACAAAGAACAUCAUUGACUACCAUUUUAUUCGGUAGUUUCCUCCAACUGCAAUUGUUGAGAUUGUAGGAGAUCUUCGAAUAAAGCCUUCAAUUCAACCAUCCGUACACAAACAUAAUAGACAAUGUUUUUUAGCGAAUUAUGGACAAAGCUUAAUAUUCAAAUGCAAUGAAGUGGAAAACACAAUCCAAUAUAUGGAUAUGCAUGCUAUAGGAAACCAUUCAUUUGUAGAUGGUAUUGUGUCACCAAUAUUGUAUUUAAAAAUCUACCCAAGAUAAAGAUGCAAUAUAUAGUUUGGUAAAAAAUCAAAACGAAGAGUUAACAAAGGAAAAGGAUUAAGACGUUGAAAAUACAAAACUGGAUUCUUUUAUUUGGUAAAGACGGUUCCCCCACUGGCUGUCUGAAACCACAAACACUUUUUACAUAGAAACUUUAUAAACUAAUAGAUUAAAAUAAAUCUAAGUGUUAUAAAUGAAAAAUCCUGGGAUUGAUAGUAAUGGCAUCAACAGUGCCACCACAUCCCAAAUAAAUGAAUGAAAAUAUAGUGAUUAACAUCCAACAAAGAAGCUCAAGCUUGAAAUAAACCAAGGCAUAAAAGCUUACCAAACUUUUCAAAUGGCUAAAUUGUUCAUUUAACAUGAUAACUUCUUCCUGCAAUCCAUAAGUAAGACCAUUAGAUGCGGUAAACAAAACAUCAUACUUCAUAUAUGGCAAUCUAGCAGAGAAACCAAUUGCAUUCAGAUGGAGCCUAAUUUGUGGAACUACAUUUAUAUGCACUGAAAUGCAUUAUCAUGUUGUCAUAUUUAAAAACUGAGGUUUAUGCAGUAUGCUAUCUUUAGCAUACACAAAAUUUUUGCCCCUCAUUUUUGAAGUUCCGCACUUCAUAAUUUAUAUACUUUCAGUUUCCCUUCUAAUGAAGGUAUGGACUGCUUUCCAUUUGGAAUUUUCGUAAGACAAUGUUAUGAUAUUCCUAAUUUAGAAUGUGUUUCCACUCUAAUGAAUGCAAGCCCUAAAUCAUAAAUAUUGUACAAUUAUGUGUUUGAGCACGUGGCAGGGCAUGAGAAUCAGAACCACUCCGUGUUGUUCUCCGCUUCGUGAUUUGGUCAUCAAACAAUACUUCAUUCCCUCCAUCCUUUAUCACGUCUUCUUGGUGAUCAUUUGUCCAUCUCCAAACUGUAUCCACAAAAAACUACAAAUUAAUCCCAAAAACAAUCAUACAAAAAAAUUGCGGAUUAGAUUUGAUUACGUACCAUUUUCCCAGGAUGUAGAGCUCAGUGAUGAUGCCCUCCUCGCUUUGCACCUUAAACAUCGACAUUUUAAACCAGAAACCAAAAUCAAACAAACAUAAAGAAAUACGACUGACAGAAUCACACUGUAAGACACCACUCCCUCGCUUCCACGGUUCCAACCACAACACCAAAAACAACAAUAACAAUAAUAACAAUGUACACUCAGACAAAACAAAAAUGCACCACAGCCCUCCAGUGCUAUAACAGCACUUCUCUUCUAGGACAACUUUGAUAUCUAUGGACUGUUCCCUUCUCCAUGUUACAACGAUAGUAUUAGAGCUCUUACAACAUCACAGAUGCAUGACCAAGAGUGUAUUCGACAACCUUUUCUCUGAUCCUUUUCAUCAGUUGGUCCUAAAGAUUGUAUUCUUCUAAAUUCAUCUUCUUUUUGGGUAUCCAGAGACAUUUAUCACUUCAUAUGCCGAACACAAAACACCUAACAUUUUGGGUGACAAAUUAGAAGCAACUAAUCGGAAUAUGGGUACUGAGAAUUGAAUUACUCUUUGUUCUUAUAGUCCUAAUGGAAAUUACUCGUUGAUUCACAAAAUUAAUCAAACUAAAAUGCAAGAAAAGCAAAAUCAACAACCCAUACAGAAUUAUGAAAAGAUCCCAACAAACCAACCAAACAAUUAACAUUUAAAAAAAAAAAUUGCAAAGUUGGAGGGAAAGAAGCACGAGAAAAAAUAUACACAUCCAAUGCUUUUAAUCUAAAGCUAGAAGUAGGAAUAACUGAGUAAGUUAAUGAAGGCAAAGCAGAGGGUAGGAAGCAGAACAUACCAAGAGACCAAUAGGGCAUCCGGGCCGGUCUGCCGAUGAACGCCGUGUCCUGGUCGACAACGCCCAACGGCGUCGGCCCUGCAAAGAAGUAAAAGUCGAAAACACUCCCAAUGACCUUGUAGGUGAGAGAAGUCCCUCUGUAGAACACAUCCAUGCCAUUGCUGUUGAUCAGCAUAACAGAGUGCGCGUAAGCCUCGUUGCCCACAUUCUGGAGAUCCAUGUAAAACCGGGUGGGACCCGUACAAAUCAGUGUUGAGAUUGAUCGCCGAGACUUCAGUGGUGAAGAGGGUGUGUGGAUCGUUCGGGUAGAGCUUGAUCCCGUGCGGCUGAGUGUUCUCUCCGAGGCCGUACAGGGAGGCGUCUUUCGGCGGUCGGGUGGAUAUCUCGAGGUACUGGUCCUUAAACACCAGUUCGCCAUAUGGGUCUUUGGAGUAGGAGCUCAAAUGAAGAGGACCUGCCCGUUGGACUUCCUCUUGAAGGCGAACCCAAAUGGGUCGGAGAUGAAGCUGAGAAUGAGCUCAGAGCCGGAGUAGUCUGAGACUUCGAUGGGGUUCUUCGUCUUCGCCUGAAACACGUUUUGGUUUCAAUUGAAAAGGCCAGAGCCUUGCAUGCGAGGAAGAUGACGAUAGGAUUCCAGAGAUAGAGAAAGAAGGAGUAAGACGACGGAGGCGAGAGAAGGAAGACGGCGGCAAGAGGAGGAUAGGACGGAGGCGAGACCAUCUGUAUCGUAGGUCUGUGAGACGUACAAGGCAAGGAGGGUUUGAGAAGGAAACGGAAAAGGCCUGCUUUACCAUUGCUAUUCCCUUCCCGCGAUCAUCAAGGCGUGCGCAACAAGAUCAGCGGCAGAGAGAGUCUGUGGCAAAUUUGUAUAUAAAUUGAAAUUCAUCCCAAAACAUUGUUCAUUUGAAUAAUGCAAUUGGAAUCCCUUCUUUAGACAAAAGUAAUUUUUAAGUAGAAUGCCAACUUAGAUUUUGAGGAAAACUAAUGAAAAUGACUUGAAAACUUUGAGUUUUAAUGAUAAGGACAAAAUAAAUGGUAAAGUGAAUAGUAUCAUAAUUGACUUUUUAGUGUAAAAAUAUGAUUUUUCGUUAAAAUGAAUAUUACCGCGGGUUUUUCAUUAAAACUCCCUAGAUUUUAUGCAAACCAAAACCUUACCAUUAUUCAUACUUGCCAGAAGGCCUCAGAAGUCUCCACUAAAAUGCUUCCCUAAGCACAAGUACAUAAUAAUGCCACUGACAACUAGCUCGUCGAUCACCUCAGCGCUGCGGUUAAUGCUUUCGGCGCCACUUUUACAUUUCACUCUUAGUAAGAUGAGAUGAAGACGGGUUCUCAGAAGAUCCAAUUCCGGUAUCUCAAUUCAAUUGCGCAAUUGUUCCUCGUUGUAACUCGAUCUUGAGUAUUGUACAACCAUCAUAUUGCCAACAGCCUUUGAGUCCCGACUACAAGCAGAAGCAUUUACCAAGUUGUCACAAGGCCCGUCAAUACUGGCAGUGUCAUCAGCGGAGGAUGAGUGAUUAAUCGUGCUUCUGUUCUUGUUUUCAGUUUCCAUUCUAUCAUUUUCUGUAAUGACACCUAGAGUUUCAGCCGCUUCAACCACUUGCGAUUCAACAGAUGUCUUGCAAAUAACAGCGGGAUCAAUAUCAUGGCUGUGGUAAUCAUCAGGAUGAGUUACUUUGCAUUGCUCUACAAACUCCAUUGUUGAGGAAAGGAUAUUCAUGUCCUUGUCCAUCGUAUUUUCUUGGCUAUUUCUAUUUAAGAUGUCAUCCUCAAAUCCGGUUGGAUUAGUGCGAGCAUCAUCUGCAGGAGACAGGUCUUCAUCUAUCUGUUAAACAAUGACCUGUGUUUGCUUUCAGAGAAGACACUGCUAGACACAACCUCGUCAACAGAAUGCAACCCUAGUGGGGAAAUGCAGAUGAAAGAGGGAUCAACUUUUCAUCGCCAGUAAUUUCUUCUCCAUAACUCUCAUUACAUACGCCAUUUCCACGUGCUACCACAUUACUCGGUUAGGUAGCCACUACCUUUGGUUCUCUCAGCAGCUACAUCUCCAUUACCACAGUUAUUCGCAUUUGGAGAUAAUACUUCCUCAUUUAUUGGAUCCUCAUUUACUAAUCCUUGAUCUCGAUUGGCAAAAGAUGCCACAUUUAUAGUGGUAUCAUUGCUUUCCAAAUUAACUAGUCCACUUAAUUGCUUCUGUACAAAGACUGCUAAAGAAACAGCAUGAUCACGAAUCAAAGAAUCAUGAGACGGGUAGUGUAGCAUAUCGAUCAAGGCCUUAUGGUACUGUGUGGCAGAUAUUAAUAACUUUGAGUAUAUGUUCACACAGGUUGCCCAUUUCUGCCCAAUGGCAGUUGCAAAUACCAAACUCGUCAAUAACUUUUGCACGAGUACCUUCUAUGAUAAUAUUGCAGUUAAGAAUCUUCAAAGCUUUACGCCAAGAUGUUAAACCACUCGCCCACUCAUCUUUCCAAUAUUGUGCAAAAUCAUCAUUCUCAGAAUAUUCAUCAAGCCAGAAGAAGGAAUGCACUUUUGUACCCAGCUUAUUAACCAACCAAUCAACUCGUUUUUACACUCUAGGUUUAUUCUCGUUCAAUAACCUAAGCUUUAGUGGCUGUGCUAGAACUCCAUUGCCGCAGAGGUUUCCUAGCUAGCAAGAGGAAGAGUUUGUAGUGCAGAUACCCACAUCCCUGAGUCAAAAGACAUUUUUCUUGUGCGAGUUAUUCAAGAUAAAGCAAAAGAAAAUUAAGGACCCUGUUUAAAGAGAAGGGGGUGAAGGAAUUAAACGACACACUUGUUACUUCGUAUCAUAAGGCAAAAUAUACCUCUACUAAAGAUGAUAGUAACUUAGCUAAUUCUAGGAUACUAAGUUGCCUUAAAGUAAUCUAUAAAAUCUUAUUCAUCAAGAAAAUCUUCUAUGAAGUCCUCAGACAAACGCUCGGCUCCUCGUUGUUGACAGAUGUUAUCCACUGCUUGACGAAGCCUUCUUGACAUUGUAGCUCGCAUCUCAUUGUCCACACAUUUCUUUACUAAGUUUGUAUGCCAUGCAUGAGGAACCCGCCAAAAGCUUAUCAACACUGAACACUGAAAUACAUCCCUGAGUAUAAUGAAAUAAAACUGUCAGUAUCAAGUUUGGGCGAGGACUGAGCAACCAACAGGAUGGUGAGCACAUCAGCUAGAGGAUCAUCCACUAUGAAACUAGCCAACUUCCAAACAGGAUCUUUCGUUUCAAUUCUAUUGUGAAGAGCUCUCAUCCAUUUAUGGGCAUUGGAACUUCCAAACUUUGGAGCCACUAUCCACGCCACCGGGAUAGUAAUAAUGUUGCAUGUCACAUCCCGGCCCGGGACAGAUCACUUCCCGGGCCCACUCCACCACCAUAGCACGAUAUUGUCCGCUUUGGGCUUACCAUUCCCUCACGGUUUUGUUUUUGGGAACUCACGAGCAACUUCCCAGUGGGUCACUCAUCCUAGGAGUGCUCUGGCCUCCUUCUCGUUUAACUUCGGAGUUCCUAUGGAACCCGAAGCCAGUGAGUUCCCAAAAGGAGUGAGUUCUCAAAAGGCCUCGUGCUAGGUAGAGAUGGGAAUAUACAUUUAAGGAUCACUCCCCUGGGCGAUGUGGGAUGUCACAAUCCACCCCCCUUAGGGGCCCGACGUCCUCGUCGGCACACCACGGCCAGGGUUAGGCUCUGAUACCAAUUUGUCACAUCCCGGCCCGGGGCGGAUCACUUCCCGGGCCCGCUCCACCACCAUAGCACGAUAUUGUCCUCUUUGGGCUUACCAUUCCCUCACGGUUUUGUUUUUGGAAACUCACGAGCAACUUCCCAGUGGGUCUAUCCUAGGAGUGCUCUGGCCUCCUUCUCGCUUAACUUCGGAGUUCCUAUAGAACCCGAAGCCAGUGAGUUCCCAAAAGGCCUCGUGCUAGGGUAGAGAUGAGAAUAUACAUUUAAGGAUCACUCCCCUGGACGAUAUGGGAUGUCACAUUGCAACAUGAACAUAUUCGGUUUCUCAUUAUUAUUAACAAUUGUAGUUAAUAAUAAAAGGUUAAACAAACUAAACGGACCUUCAAUUUGGUUGUUCCGAACCUUGAAUCAGAAAGCUAUAAGGCUGUGAUUGCCGAAGCAAAUCAUCUGUUGCAACUGCCACUCUGUUUGAAUGCCCAAAGUGAAAGGGUCCACAUAAGAGAAAUCCUAAUAGAAGAAAACAUGACUCUGAUGGUUUUCUACCCACAUGCUAAUGCUAACCGCAUCAUCAGCAUCCAAUUCAUAUAUAGAGCAUCGAAUGACCCUCUCCUGCCUCGAACAUACCUAUAGGUUAAAAGGUCAUCACGGUUAGAUGGACCACCCUGUUUCUCUACAGAUUCAUCGUGUCUCUGCAUUAUAGUCUCCACAGAGACCCCCGCAUAUAACAAAGAUUGUACACGAAGAAGCAGAUCCUCAGAGAUACAAGGGGCAAAUAUAGCACGUGUUCCAGCAGCCAUCUUAUCUUGUGGACCAUGGCAUGGCACUCAUUUCCUAUCUACAUGCUUAUCCUGAUUAUAUAUGAUACGCGCCACUAAAGAAUACCUAGAAUACCAUCAACCUUUGGUUUGUUAGGCGUCUAUGGCUGCCGCCGUCGCCUCGCUUCAACAUGAAAUCUUGUUGGACAUUCUUUAUUAGAGCAUUCACCCCUCAGAAAAUCGUCAACUCUAGGAAACGGAAUUAGAGCAACUCCAUCUUUCUUGUCCCGCCAACCUUCCACCUUUGACCACACAAGAUCAGAAGAAGAAAACUCCAGUGCAGGUGGACUCUGCACAGGAAGGGACAUAAUCUCAUCCCAUCUAGCCAUCUACAACAAAUAAAACGGAAAUGACAAAUUUAAUACAAUAGUCAUUUUAACAGAAGAAUCAAGACCAAAAUCCCAAUAGUCACACUCACACCUAACCCUUAACUAUUAGUUGAAUAAAAGGUUUUUCUAAUCGAAAAAAUGAACAAAAAUGGCGGAUUUUGCAACUGGCUUCGUAAAAUCACACGUUAAUAACAGUAAUAGAGGUCCUUUUUACUCUAAGCAGUACAAAAGAAAGUCAAAAACUUCAUAUCUGAUAACAAGAAAACAAACAAACAAACAAAAAAGAAGAAACAAUUUAAUUCAUGCAAUACAUUUCAUUCCCAACAAGAGAAGUUCAAAACUUUAGCAAACAAUUAAACUGAUUUCGUCUCUGUUUUCAUAAAUUCUCAGAAAUUAACAGUCGAAAAACACAAAUUAAAGGAAAAAAAAAGUGAAAUUCUUUGGGUUGUCAAAUAGAGAAAUUAUAUUCACACACCCAAAAUUUCUUCCACACAUUUUUAAUUUUUAUUUUAUUUUCUACACACUACUAACACUUGAUAGAAAAAGAUUAAAAAAUUAAAGGAUGUGAGGGAAGUAAUUUAGGAUGUGUGAAUAUAAUCUCCCUUUUAGAUAAGUGAAGUCGUUAGCUUCAGAGUCACACAUUGAGCUAUAUCGAUAUGUAUAGUAUCACGCCCUUUAUGCAAAAAGAUCCCCAUUUUUUCAAAAAAAUGGGGAUUAGGUGUAGGUCCACUCCACAACGAACUUUAAUGAUCUGAAUCGUUUAUUUUGUAAGGAACCAAAUCCCCUGCGGAUCCCUAAAAACUGAGCCUUCUGAGCAAAGAAUUAGGACAAUUGAAAUUUGAUCAAACGGUUACAAACAGGGCCCCUCUAAAAGUUAUAAUAAUUGUAGUCAUUGGAUUAAAUUUCAACGGCCCAAAUUCAUUGCUCAGGGGGCUCAGUUUUUGGGGAUCCAAUUCCAAUUUGUAAGUCUCAUUUCAUAGAUUAUUCUUACAAGAAUUCAAUUCAAUCCAAAAUCAUUUAUCUAUUUUGUAAGUCUCAUUCCAUAAAUGUCAUUAUAUCAUCAUUUCACGUGCUACCACAUUAUUCGGUUCAGCAGCCACUUUACCCUUGGUUCUCUCAGCAGUUACAUCUCCAUUCCCACAAUUACUCAUUUGAAGAUAAUACUUCCUCAUUCAUUGGAUCCUCAUUUCCUAAUUCUUGAUCUCGAUUGGUAAAAGACGCACAUCCAUUGUGGUAUCAUUACUUUCCAAAUUAGCUAGUCCACUUAAGGGUGCGUUUGUUGCACUGGAAUGUCUCGGAUUGGACUAGCUUUAGGAACUAAGCUGGAUUGUCUUAGAUUAGCUUAAUGAAGCAUUUGAUGCAGUAUCGGACUAAAAAGUAGGAUAAAAAUUAAUUUUCCUUUUUUUUUUAUCCAAAAACAAAGAACUCUAUCUGUCUCUCCAUUUUCUUUGGUCAAACUAUCUCUCCUCCUUUUUCUCCAUCUCUUCCAUUUUCCUUUCCCGUCCAAUUCCUUUUUCCUUUUCUUCUCGAUCACAAAUAUACACAGUUCACAUGCAAACCAAUUUUCCAUCAGACCAAACAACACCCAUCACCUGCCUUAUCAAUCCAACAAAAUUCCCAAACUUUCCCACCCUAAAAUUUGACAAUUCCAUUCAAAUUAAACAAAAGUUAGAGCUGGAAAACUGAGGAAAGAAAAAGAGAGAGAGAGAGAGAGUAAACGGAUCACCAAUAGUAGGAGGCGGCAACGCCAUAUAGUUUGAGGACGAGCAGUAGCGUAAAGGAGAAGAGGAGGCUAUGGGCCGCCAAGGCCUGCACGAACUUCAACAUUCUCCGCUAGUUCAUCAUCAUCGUAAAACAAUGUCGUCCGCUGCAAAAGUCGAGACUUUAGAUUGUGAGAAAUCUUAGGAGGAGGUUGAUGUUUCAGUAUACGCCAUUGAAACGAAAGAGGCAAGAAAUAUUCUUUCUCUCCUUCUUCUUUUUCAUCGUUCGGGUUGACCUAGAUGGCAAAAAAUCCCAAAUCACCAACCCAGAUGCCAAAAUGGCGCUGGGUUUGCAGGACGAUGGAGAUCAGAGACAACCGUUUCUGGAGAAGGGGGGUUAAUGCUACUCAUGUGGGUUCGUAGGACGCUGCUCGCAUACCAGGGAGACGGGACUAGCAAUCCCGUUGUUUUUGGGGGGCCUCGCUAAGACCUCCUAGUGAGGGAUUUAGUCGAGGCGAGUCCUCCUUUGUCCCAUUUACCUUUAGUCCCGCCAGUGAACAAACAUGGAUUGCACUAACUUUUAACUUAAGCGUCGAGUGAGAACUAAAGAAGGCAAACAAACACCCCCUUAAUUGCUUCUGUACAGAGACUGCUAGAGAAACAGCAUGAUCAAUUGAUUUUGACGGAGUUCUUCAGCUUAAUUUAUUAGUUUUGGAUUACAUUGCUCUUGUUUAAACUUUCAAGUAAUCUUUUUCCAUAUGAUUACUUCUAUUUAAGGGCUCAUGGCUUGGGAAUUGUUAUGCUAUUAUCACCUAAAUGCUCAUGUAAAUUGAAUUCGAUCAAAUUUUUACUAGAGUAGUCGAAUUUCUAUUAGAGUUGUUCUUAGUCAUGUUUGAAUUGCCAUGUUUAUCUUAUAUUUUCUUGAUGCAAACCUGGUCAUUUUUUUAUCUAUGCAUCCAGAGCAACAAUCAUGUGAUUUCUUGACAAUGAAUUGGACUUGUUUUUUUUUUUUUUUUUUUUUUGCACUUUAGUUGUUUAUAGUAACAAAUUCACUUGAUCAAUUGAUAUGUUCUUUCUGUAUAUAUAAAAAAUAUGUGCUAAAAUUCUUAAGUGUGUAUCAAUACACACACACACACACACACACACACACACACACACACACACACACACACAUAUAUAUAUAUAUAUAUAUAUAUAAUUGUAUACACAGAUGGUUAAGAAGGAAAGUAAUGGGGCAAGUGGAUCACAACUGCCAGCUGUAUGGAAUGCUCACAAUACAUCACUAUUUUGUGACGUGUGUAUCAAGGAAGUGGAGGCAGGAAAUCGUCCUGGUACCCACUUUAAAAAAGAGGGAUGGGAAAAUGUGAGUAUUAACCUAAAUAAAGAGACUGGAGAUGAGUAUAGUAAACAACAGCUAAAAAAUAAGUGGGAUGCACUUAAAGAGCAAUGGAAAUUAUGGAAAGAACUAAAGGGAAAAGAAACUGGUCUAGGAUGGAAUCCCAAGCUCAACACCGUUGAUGCUUCGGAUGAGUGGUGGCAUAAUAAAAUUCAGGUUUGUAAGCUUCUUGUUAGUUUCUGGAUGUUGUUUGUCUAUUAUUGAGCUUGAAUGCAUUUUAAUACUUGUUUCUUUAAAUUGCAGAUCAACAAAAAAUAUAAAAGUCUGCGUAGAAAAGGAAUUAGCCCUGAUAUGGAAGAUAAGCUAGAUAGGAUGUUCAUGAAUACCACUACUGGUGAUCAUGCUUGGGCACCCUCGUCUGGUGUACUUCCAUGUGAAAAUAAUGAUGAAUCUGAUGAGGAUGAUGGCAUUCAAAUUGACAGUAGUGAUUUUGAUGAUGUUAUCCCACUCAAAAAUACUCAAGCCGAUGAGAAGUAUUUGGGGAAGAAGAAAAAAAGAACUCAACAAUUUGAUACACAAGUUAAGAAAGAGAAUAAGGAUAAAGGAGUUGUUGCAAAGAAGGGGAAAUUGGGAGGUGCUGCUAAGUUGUCAGAACAGAUUGAUCGUAUGGUUAGUGCAAUUGAGAGUAGAAAUACAACAACUUCAAACAUGGCCAAGGGCUUACAAAAUAGUAGCAUUGCUGAAGUGAUGAAGAUAGUUUCAUCUUUACCUGGUGCAGGGCCUGGGAGCCCUUUGUGGUUAUUUGCAACUCGAUUAUUUCUAAAACAAGAGAAGAGAGAAAUGUUCUUAACUAUAGAAGAUCUGGACAUCAAGUUUCAAUGGCUUAACUAUGAGCAAGCUGAAAAUUAAGUGCCAUGUGAUGCAUUUAGUUUGCAAAGUUUUAUAUUUCGUGGUAGACAGUAUAGUCUAAGAUAUCUUUAAACUUGAGUUUAUUAUUUUGAUUUGUCAUUUGGGAUGGUUACUUGGAUUUCUUUGUGUUUUACUUGGGAUUAUAAUUGGAUGGUUUUGGAUUCUUUAUUUAAGAAUAAUUUUUUUUCAUGCAUGUACUCCUAUUUGUAGGAAUAAUGAUGAGAUUUUUAUUUUUUUUUCAAAAUUGCAGAUCUCUUUCAAGAUAUGGACAUCUUGCAAGAUGAGGAAGAGUUCAACCAAACUGUAUGCCUUUGUGUUCGUACUAUAGAACAUUAUUAUCAAACAUAUAUCCACAAAACACCUUGUAUGGAUUCAUCUCAAACAGGAUAUAAGUGGUUAAUGGAAAUAUUACGGGGAAAGAGGCGUUGUCAUAGGAUGUUCAGAAUGGAUAAAGAGGUAUUUAUGAGAUUGUGUAGUGACCUGCAAAACAAGUAUGGAUUGAGGGGUUCAAGGAGAAUGUGUCCUGGUGAAAUGUUAAGAAUGUUUUUGUUUAUUCUAGGACAAGGUGAAGGGAAUAGGUCAGCACAAGAACGAUUUCAACACUCCGGCGAGACUGUGAGCAGAUACUUUAGUCAGUUACUUGAUAUUGUAUGCCUUAUGGCUGUUGAUGUUAUCAAACCACUGGAUCCUAUGUUUAAUGGUGUCUCUGCAGAGAUAUUAAGCGACUCUAGAUAUAUGCCCCACUUUAAGGUAAAAAAAAAACUAGAUAUGAUACUUCUUGCUUUGUCUUAUGAAUUAAGUUAUAUUUAUUGAAAAUUGUGUUAUAAUAUUAUUUGCAGAACUGUAUUGGUGCUAUUGAUGGUGUACAUGUUCAAGCCACAAUACCUCCCGGAGAUCAAAUACCAUAUAUUGGCAGGAAAGGGACACCAACUCAAAAUGUAAUGGCCGUAUGUAAUUUUGACAUGCAAUUCAUCUUUGCAUGUGCAGGUUGGGAAGGAACUGCACAUGAUACAAGGAUAUUUUUAUCUGUUUUACGAAACGGUGCUUUAAAUUUUCCUAAGCCUCCUAAUGGUAAUGUCUCAAACUUGUGCAUAUGUUUGAAAUUUUGCAUUUGAUUAGACACUUUUUAUAGUUUCUUUUUAUAUCAUAGUAGCAUGUUUUGAACAUUACAGGAAAAUAUUAUCUUGUGAAUGCUGGGUACCCACAGAUGAGCGGCUAUUUAGGACCCUAUAAAGGUGAAAGGUAUCAUCUUCCUGAUUUUCGUAGGGGCAGAGAACCAACAGGAUCUAGAGAGGUAUUUAACCACAUACACUCUUCUCUUAGGAGUGUCAUUGAACGCACUUUUGGUGUAUGGAAAAAGAGGUGGAGCAUUUUAAGAGACAUGCCUAGUUACUCAUUUAAGAAGCAAGUAAAGAUAAUAAUCGCAACUAUGACGCUUCACAAUUAUAUAAGAAGGUAUGCCCGACGUGAUAAUCAUUUUGACAACAUGAAGGAUGACUUGGAUGAUGACACAAACUCGGAUGAAGAACAAGAAGAAUAUCAUAUUACCGAAGGACCCGAAGCACAAGAAAUAGAGACAUUGAGGAACAACAUUGCUGCAAGUUUGAUGUGUUCGUAAUUUUUUUUAUGUAUGCUUAUUUUAUUUUAUUAUUGUUUGAAGACAUUGAAGAAAAUUUUAUUUAUUUAAUAUUUGUUGUUUUUUUUUAACUUUUGGCAAUGCAACUACAAAUGUCAAAAUAAUUUGAGGGAAAAAAGAUUAGAUAUACUUGUGAGUCAUCUUUUUAACCAAAAAGUUAAUAGAAAACUAUUUUUCUCAUUACUUUAGUCUAAACUAGAAAAUGUGCCCGCGCGAUGCUGCGGGACUUAAAUGCAUCACCUUUAACUACAUGAAUAAGAUACAUUUCACCUAAAUAAAUUCAACACAAUCAUGAAUGAAGAGAGGAAUAGAUGAGUAAAUGGGGUCGGUAAGAUAUGCAACUUCGUUUUUAUAUACAUUGAACUGAACUCACAUGAAAAGACAUUGUACAAUGAACAGGACGAAACUGAAUGUUUUGGUUCCCUAAACUGAAACCCCUUGUCUCAGACACCCAACACCUCUCACCCUCAGAUAGCCCUAAACGAAGUGCCUCGUAGCAUCGAAUUGGCCUACAACACCCCCGAGCGAGAUUGAGACUACUUUUCAUAUUUUCAUUUUAAUGUACCAGCAAGGAAACGAUAGUAUAUUCCAAAAUUAGCAGUUUACAGAGAAAUAUAAAUAUUGUUUUCAAGAAAUUAAUAUGAUUGCAAAUGUAAUAGCUCCAUGCAUAGUGAGGUAGGAUAAAUGAUGGAAGACACACUGAAAUUUGAGGUCCAUAGGUUGAGAAGAGUCCAUAGCAUUGAUCCAGAUAUGGAUAGCUUGCACAGAUCUACAAUUCAAGCUCCGAAUAAAGUAUCAAUUUAUCAGCAAUUGUGACAUUCAUUAUUCCUAAAAAAGUUAUUGAUUCACAAAUAAACAAAUGAAAGUAAUCAGAAAAGAAACGCUUACCACAUGCUAGCUGAAUCCGAACUCAAAAUGACCACGAUAUUUUCCCAGCAAUGAUCACAAAGAGAUUGAUGCUUGGGACUUCUGUCCAUCCCUGAAAACAAUGGAAUAAUAUACCCAUUAAAAAACGUCACAAAAAGAUUUACAGUAACUGUCCCAACUAUUAUAAUUAUAUGGUCUUAUUGGCAUAUUCAGACUACAAAAUAAAAGCUGGCAGUUGUUUGCACUCGUAAACAAUUUCUCUUUACAAAACUAAAUAAAUUGUAAUGACCCAAGAAAUCAAAAUUUGAUUAGGCAUUAGAAACAAUGUUACCUUUUGGAGAAAAGGAUGCUCAACCAAAUGGAAGCCCAAAUUUAAAACAGCAACUGAAUGAAAAUCUGACGUUAUAAAAUCCAUAAGAAGCGUGUAAUGCGUCUAAUUUAAAAAGUCUCUCACACAUGUAAUUGCACGUAGGACGCCAGAUUCAAAAAAAAAAAAAAAACCUUGAAACCAAAGGACUGCAAAGGAUUGCUUUGUCAUAGAAAGUAAAAGAAUAAAUUGAAUCAACUGAACAUGCUUCUUGCAAACAAAGAAAGUAAAAUACGGGGGAACAAAAUCACAAAUCAACAUAGGCAUCUCUUAAGAAUUUAAAUAACCAAGAUUUUGAUGAACUGAUUGUAAGCAUAUGUGCAUAGAUGUCACUAUUUACAUAAAACAUGUAAAGGACAAUCAGUUUUGAGUUUCAAAAUAUAAAAUAUUAAAAUUUCCAUAAAAGAUAAGUAUUGGGAAACAAAGUUGGCAUCUCACCUUCCACAAUAGGUCGACAAAUCCUUUGAUUACGCUUUAGCUUCUUGUUUAACUGAAACACAAAUUCAUUGUUCAGAAUAUCAUAAUUUCAUGAAAUGGUUCACCUUUGAUUACGCUUGCUGCUUAGUGACUUGAUAAGUCGGUCACAAAGAUAACAUGUAGAAUGCAAAUAUGGAUCAGGAAAAAACAACAGCUAUAGAAUUGAUUAUAUAGAAGAAGAAUACAUACUUAUUGUGAGGUUAUCCCAGCUAUCCACUAUGACCCAAUAUAUAUAGCAAGUAAAAACUAUGGCAGCAAAGAUCUCACGUAUAUAAAUCUUGCAUAAACUUUGUUUUUGUACAAUGUCUUCUCCCUUCAAUGACAGUUUGUUUCUUAUUCAGGAAAAUAAAAUGAGCAGGUUAAUGAUACUCACAUGUGCAAAAUGCUAAUCCUAUGGUCUAAAGUUAACUGAAUUUUUUAGUGUAAAAUACCUAAUUUCACUGCAUUUCAAUUGAUCACAGUUCGUGCCUUGUUAAACUUGAUAUACCCUUAGACAUUUUGGGAACUUGACAGCUUAAAUUUUCUUUAGUUACAGAUGUGCUCAUAAAAGCAAAUUACAGCGACCCAAUAUAUACUAAAAACUUGGAGAAGGGACUCAAUUAGUUAACGAACAGGUGCCUCGCCUUUCAUGUUAAGACCAAAGAGAGAAAACCAAGCCGAACUCUUCAAAAUUCAUUGGCACACAUGCAUCAUCAGCUCAAUUGAAUGGAUAAUGCAUACUUAGAUACAACCAUUCAAACAAUUGAUGUAGAUUGACAUAAGCCUCCAAACUUCAAAAAAAUUGAAACCUUAUAAAAGCAAAACCUUUUUUCCUUCAUAUUUGAACUGUUUCGAUUACCUUAUCUCUCUAUCACUUGAUUCAUUAUUUCUAAAGGAAGUUCUAAUCACUACCAAAACAGCUUAAUAACAGUUGAUUAUCUAAAAAAAAAAAGAGGGAAAACAUGAAAUACUAACUGCACUCAAAAUCCCAAAUGUGUAACACAUGAUUCUAAUCUAAACCCUGAUUCUAAAAUUUAGAAUUCGACACAAAAAUGAAAAUUGGAAUGAUUAACAUGGAAAUGAGAGAGGGAGAAGUGUGAGGGAAUCUACACAUGAGGGCUUCGGAUCUGAGUCCAGAGCUGGAAGCGGCAGAGGUUGCGAACUUAAGAGUAUGGAAGAGGCGGGAAGGAUCCUUGUAAAAACAAUAAAAAUUAAAUAAGAAACUCGCCGGAAACUCGGAAAACCUCGUCGAAAAAACUGGACAGCAACUUACCUCGGAUUCACCUUUAACUCGUAACAAAUCUUUUCACAUUAUUCUCUAUUGCCACUUGUACUUCACUCAGUACUAAUCGAUAUAGCUGAAAGUCUGAAUCAUGAAGAAUGAGAAGUUGAAGUAUAUCAAAUGAUAAAGUUGUCAACAAUGAAGAAUGGGACAUUGACCAUGGAGACACUGCAAGAAGCAAAAGUGAGCAAAUUAAAUAAAUACCAGCAUCAACAUUUAGAAAAAAGUAAGAGCAGCAACUAUAAAUGAAGAAUGUGCAAUCAACAUUAAAAGUGUAUAAUAGGAACACGGAUCUCAUAACUAAAAGACAUUUUCUCACCAAACAAUGGAAAAUAAUUGGAGAUGCAAUUCAAUAAAAAAAGAAGUUAGCACUUGCUUAUUGCCUUCCAAAGAAGCUAAUGAAUCCAUCUGGUUGAAGAAGUGUUUAGCAUUGCCAGUAAAAACAACAAAAAUCACAUCAAAUUUCAAAUUAAUCAACUCAAUAGCAUGCGUACCUUAACAUCUAGAUGACGAAACAUUGGUUCCUCGAACGAAUCGUAAAGAUCACAAACACAAAUCAUGAAUUAGAGUUCGAAUACGCAUCUCCCGAUUUGAAACCCUAACGUAAUUCCCCACUUGGAAGAUGCAACCUUUGGGGUUCUGGCUGCUAGGGUUGAGAUGUUAAACCUUUGACUAAGAAAAUGACAUUGGGCAGCAUAGGAUACAUACUGCUCCCCCAGAUAGACCUGCAUGAAGAUUUAUCCACCAUCACAUGCGAAAAGGAAGAUGGUCAGUAUAUGUGUUUUAGUAAUCAAUCUAUAUUUGAAGCAAUGAAAAAAAAGCAUAUGACAUGAGCUAUCAUAAAUUAAAAUUAUCAACAAUCUCUUCCCAUUACGAAACAUAGAGAAACUACAAACCAUAACAAAUACAUUGAAAUACGCAAAUAUGCAGCAAAUCCCUCAAGCAAUUAAGAAAAAAAAUGCCUCUUAAAUCAGCAACCAAAUUCAAAUUAACAAAUGUCUCCAUAAAAGAAGUAAAAUGGAUGAAAAGAUACCUGGCUUUUUCAAAACAAUUCAAAUUCCACAACAUUUCAUUCAAAACAGUUCAAAAUUCAUAACCCCUCAAGCAAUUGGGGCUGUAAGUUACGUAAUCGGAUGGCUACAACCAAACGAAGAGCUUCAAUCAAUUAAAGUCAACAAAAUAUCAAUAAUUAAUCUAAAAAAAAAAAUUAAAUAAAUGAACACCAGGGGACUGAGGAAUGCUACUAAACAUCAGUAAGAACAGAAACGAAUAAUUUAAAUGCUUGAGCUUCAAUGAAAGCAUUUUACCCUUGCAAUUUUCCAAGAUAGCGGAGAGGCAAGAUGCACAUGUAUUAGUGAGAGGAUUUUCAAAGAUAUUGAGCACUUCCAAUCGAGCAGAUAGCAAAGGGCAUUCGCAAAUCUGAAGAUUGAAAUUAUUGAUCGAGACAGCCAAAUGAAUAGAGAUAUAAUCAUACAAUCCCCAAAAUCCAAAUCCAAAUCUGAAACGCCUGAUCCGUUUCUGGAAAAUGGCAGAGAAAAAUAGAAGAACUACGUUUUUAGAUGACCGGAUUGAAUUUGAGGCAGAGAGAGGGGGAGAGAAAGAGGGAGGAAGAGAAGCAGAAAAGCGAUAGAACAAAAUGGAAGACGCUUGAAGGGUCUUCCUUACCAACGACGUGAAAUCCAAUUGCCAUUUCAAGCUCCCUCAAUCACGACCUGUAGGAAAAUAUCAAACCCAAACAUAAGUUCACUGAAAUUCGAAUUCAAUAUAAUCAAACACAAACAAAAUAGCAAAAUUAAAAUAAAUAAAAAACUAAACUAAACUAUAAAUUAAAACUUUCAAUUGAAUAACCCCACAAUUUAAAUUACUAAACAGUAACAGAUUUCUCUGAGUAAUCAACUUCUCGAUUAUGGUCAUCGAACACGACAUUCUCCAAAACUGCCAAACACAUGCAACCAUAUUUGAUAAGAAUUUGAAAUAUCACUCCAAUCAUGACACAGAACAUAAACAUUUUGCGCACUGUCAUUUUUAAAGUAGAACGUUCAAUUAAAUCAUGAUGUUAAGUACCAGUCCCAAAUUUGAUAGCAUUCCAAAUAUCUGGUUCCUUGUCCAUUGACAAAUCAAUGCACUUGGCAUAGCAACCACCUUCAAUGUUUGACACACCAUUGUUGCCCCAGCAGUGCUCAUCAUCUCCAAUUAGAUACCGAUUAUGAUCCGUAGACAGAGUCGUCUUCCCAGUGCCUGCAACAAACAUCCCAGGAUCAGUUACACGAACACAAAAGAAACUGAAACACAAAAGAUUGAUGUAUCCAUCACCAAUUGAUCAUUGUACACAUAAAAUUAUCAUGAUUCAUACCUCUGCGUCGAUAUGGAAUUUUAUAAACUGGACAAAUGGAACCCAAUUUCAUCGACUUCACGGUGCAAGUGCUGUAAAAAAAUAAGCAAACACUGGCAAUAUGAUCAAGCACAUUCCAAGUAUUAAUACAUCCAAAUAAAACCUAACAUUCAUAUGCAAAUAACAAUGAAGGUAGAGAUUACUUGUAAGAGAUGAUUGCAAUUGAGUGAAUCCGCAGAACUCAGUAGACUCAAACUGCAAAACAGAUGGGGAAAAAUCAAACCCAUUAACAGAGUGAAGAAAUUUUUUAAAUCUUUAAACGAAUUCUGGACAGAAUCAUGUAAAGGGUCUGUUUUGGCUACCGAGAAACUUAGUAUACAUUUAAAUAUUAUUACAUGUUAAUACAAAAAUUUAGCUUUAUUCAGAUGGGAGAGAUCAAAGGUUGCAUCAUUCAGCUUCACACAUGGCUACAACACAAUUUCAAAAACUCUUGUCAUCUCAAAGUCACAUUCUUUAUCAAACUCCCACUCCAUAAUCGAACAGAGGUUGAUAACGGACAAAAAGAAACACAAAGUACGAAAUAUAAUCAAUAUCAUCAGUCAAAACUUACUGCAAAGGGUGAGGGGUCAACCAUGUGAUUUUUUGCCCCUUAACCUCGGCCUGCAUGGACAAACAACGGAAGAAUUCAUACCCAAAUAACACAAUAACAUAAAAUGGCAGGAAUGUAAAUAAUACAAAAUCGAGGGUCCAACACACGUUGAUAUGUCAUCGUGGUUUCCAAUUGAACCAUGAAUUCCAGAAUGUAAAUCAUACCUUGAGUAUAAGAAAACCAGAAAAGGAAAAUUAAAUCCCUCACAAAUGGUGGAAGAAAAUAUGAGAAACCUAUAUUAGUCCCAACGGUGUGAGUUUUCAUCAAAGAAGUAGACAAUCCACACGCUAAAUCACCAAUCAAACAUGAAGAUGAUCACAAAGAAGAAAUCCCUAAAACCAAUAUUUUAUUAGAGUUGAAAAUCGAAAUUAAGCCAAAACGGAACCGACACUACCCAAAUUAAGCUAAAAAUUCACUAACCCAACAUAAAGGCAAAGAAAAAUCACCUCUAGAUGACUGCCAUUGAUUCAAUGCAAAGAGAGCUCAAGCUGCUUAAUAUUGUUCUGAAAUUAGAGAGAGGGUGUGAGAGAUCAUGAGAGGACGGAGGGGCGAAUGGCGGAGUGAGAUUCAGCGCGUCUCUUCUCUGCAUAUAAAAGAUGCCGCACAAUUAUGCAACUUACUCCAUAGACUUAUAAACAUCACAAUUAUAAAUUCUGAAACUGAUAUAAAUUGAAUAGAAAUACACAAAGCAUAAACAAAUUCAGCAUAUGAACACCAAAACUUACCAAACUCAUGUGCUUGCUUGAAGCUGUUUUUGAUCAUUUUUCUACAAUCUACUGCAUAAAAAGGACCAAACUAUAACGGCAAACUAUAUAUAUAAUUUGCUAUAAUACCCAAAAAAAUUAAAUUACAUUAACAUUUGAGUGGAAGCCACGACCAAAGUGGUAAAAUUGAAGAAAACAUCAAAAUCCCAGAAAAAAAAACAAAUUCUUUCAGAAAAAAUCAAAGAAAUUUACUCAGGUAAUCAAUCAAUUAUGUACCUAAUUCCCCUGAUGUCUUGAAUAAAUAUAACACUCCAAGAUAAAUUAACUACCCAAUAUUAAUUUUUCCUGUUUCUUUCUUCUUAUUCUCGGGAAAGAAACAAACCCAAAACAAAUAAUUGAAGAAAACAUACAGAAAAUAUUGGGGAGGAGUAACAUACAAUCUGCUGAGUUCUUAUUCGCUUUGUAGAUAAGAGAUGGUGGCUUCUCAUCGAGUUCAUGUAUGUAUUGCCUGGAGUGAGAUGGUGAGCGGGCGUGAGAGAAUAGGGCAGUGAGAGAGAGUCGGGAGAGAAAAAGAGGGAAAGAAAUGGCGAUGGAAACGGACGGAAACGUAGUCGAAGCAGAGCAAUCCACGAUGAUUAACGCGUGGGCGCUCUUAAACUGUGCAAAAGCAGUGGUAAUUUUGUAAAUAAAUCGAAAUUUUCAAUUUGCGGUGAAGAGAUGAUGGUAAUUUUGUAAAUAACUCAAAAUCCACUCCAAGUUACUAUUCAUUUGAAUAGUGCAAUUGAAAAGCUUUCUUUAGACAAAAGCUAGAAAAAAUGCCCGCGCUUCGCUGCGGGUUUUGAAACUAUUAGCCAUAAUAGACGUGAAUAAUUGGCACGAAAAGAUGCAUUACAAAGGCGACACAAAUGGAGUCAUGUCCUAAAAUGAACCAGUGCAGAUGAAUAAUUUGCAAAAUCACAUUCAGUUUCAUUUCUAUAGGUCAAAAAACAAAGAAAACAUGUAUAUUAACUUGUCAUAUUUUAUAAAACUAAAAGCAUGGACAAUUCAGUGCACCUUGGUUGCACAUUUGUCAUAUCCAGCAGCUCACAUCGGCCACCCCCCACUGGAAUCCAAGGCUGAGGGAAGCCAUCUGCGGGAGUUGUCAUCUGAAGCACCACUCUUAUCUUUGCCUUUGUCUGAUUUGAUAUGUUGCUUACUAUUGCAUGGAUGCCAAGUAGCUUCAACAGCCUUCGAUGUACACAUAUCUGAAAUGCGGUCUUGUCCUACUGUUAGAAGCAAAGAUAGGAGCCCUAAUAGCAUAUUCUCAAGAGCUUCAUAGAGAGCUCUUUUGUUUCUCUUUGUCAACCACUGCAAGGAUUGCAAUUCAAAUUUAAUCAAAAUAAUUCAUUUCACAUUCAUAAUAAACCCGAAAGUGACUUGAUAAGAUGAAAUUAACCCAAUUACGUGUGAAAGGAAACCUUUCCAAUUAAAUGAAUGAAAUAUUUGAUGUGGAUCAAAACCAAAACCAAAUGAAAACAAAUAUCGACAACUGCCCAAGUUGGUGUUUGCCCCAAAGGUCUUCCUCCUCCUCCUCCUGCCAUCCUUUAAUUGAAACCCUAAUUUUCCUUACUACUAAAUAAUGCUAUUUUCGAUCUAUUUCUUUCGGUGUGUAAACUUUACUAAUUCUCGAUAAUUUUCAAUCACUUCCACUGUAAUUAAAAUAAGUACUGAGUAUAUACACACUCAUAAAAACACAAAUUCAGUUUUCCAUUCUAAAAAAUGAACGAAAGCACAUACUCCAAGUCAAUGUUCCUACUAUAUUCAUUAAUCCAACGAUGCAUCAAAUAUAAAAAUUAAAUUAUACCUCUAAUUUAUAACCUUUUGAUCUUGCUUCAUCUGCAGCUAAACCAAAAUUUGGACAAUCCCCAAUAUAAUUCCGUCAAAAUCCACAUAGCAACACCAUGUAAGAAUCAUAUUGGGUGUCUACACCCACACUUAUCAAUGUACACAUAAAUUUGAAAUCUGAAUCACUUGGGCUUCAAAGAAGGCCAAAAGUCUUUGUAUUCAAGCAUUUAAUACUCUACAGAAAUUAACUAAACACAGCCACAUUGAAUACCAAACCCACUUACUUACCAUCUUAUCCAACUCUUAUUUCGUAAAUUUUUCUGGUAAAGAAGCGUAGUUUAUCCUGAGCUCUGCAAUAGAAUAAUUCAAUUCUUCUUCAUUGCUUUUCAAUAGGAUCCCUACAAUCAAACAAACAUAAUUACUCUAGUAAAUAACUUCAAUUUAAAAUGCAAAGAUAUAACAGAAAGGAAAGUGAUUAAUUAAAAAAUAAAACUGUUAAAACAACAGACUGAUACACUUAACAUGCCAAUUUAUAUACUAUAUAACAAUACUAAAUCAAUUAAUUUAUAAAGAUUAGAAAUGGAUUACAAAAAGCAGAAAUCUUAUUUGGCAUGUAUGAAAAUGAUACACACAUUCUUAGCCAAUCAGCAUGAAAAAGGUAUAGAAAACUAAUUUACUUUGUUAACUUUGGACAACUGGAGAGAUGAAAGAACUCUUAGUUUUUACUAUAAGUAUGACAACCAUGUGAUUUCAUUGUUAAUUGGGACUGAUGUGUGUCAUUAGGAUUGCCAAAAUUAGUGAUCUUAGAGUUUGGCAGCCAAUGACCGAAUUGGACUCAAGUUUAUCAACAUUUGAUUCAACUAAACUAAAUUGGAUACGCUCAUUAGCAUAGAAAUAUGUAUACCAUAUGACAAUAUUGAAUCAAGUUAUUUGCAAAGAUUUAAAAUGCAAUGUAAAAAGGAAAAAAUUUAUUUUAUAUGUAAUAAAAUGAUUAACAAAUUUUUUAUUGAGCAGUAUAAAAAAGGUAUUAAAAACUAACCUAAUUUAUUAAGUUUGGAAAAAUUGGACAGAUAAAAGAAAGCUUUUAAUCCUUACUAUAACUAAAAUAACUAUGUUAUUUCAUUAUCAAAUAGGAUUCAUACGUGUAAUCAGGGUUAAGAAAAUCACUGAUUAAAGAAUCUGCCAGAAAUCAUCAAAUUGGACUUGAACUUACCAAUUUCUGAUUCAAAUAAACUAAGAAAAGGAGUUGGAAUCAAACUAACCUCUGUUUUCUAUAUGCAGCAAACUGCAUCUUGUUUUUGCCCUUGUUAACAACAUAUCUUCGCUCUGUACACACCAAAAAACAGUAAACACCUCAUUCAUUACUAACAGCCAUUUCAAUCAAUUAAUUAUUUAGACAAAUUUUUCAACGAUUCCGAAGCUCAGACAAAAAUUGCAUGAGAAAAUUGAGAUUAUAUGCAAUUGGAUGUCAAAGAACCUGAAAAUACCAUAUAUCCAAUAUUUAGUGCAUACACCUAAAAACUAAUCUUUAUAUAUACUUUAAAAUAAUACAGAUCAAUGUAAUCUAAAACAUUGGAAAUGCAUAUCAGUGCAAGCCAAGGUCUCAAGUUCUCAGAGUGGGGAAUUACUGAUUAGAACAGUUAAUUCUCUGCUCCUUUUUGGGUAUGAACUAAUUAGCAUAGUAGCCAUAAAAAUACGAAACAAAAGCUCAAUAAUUUAUGCAAUUUGGUUAAAUUUUAUACAAUUUCUAGCAAAACCCAAAACUCAAUAAUACAAAAGGAACCCAAUAGAUGAUUAAAGCAAUUUUAUACACAACUUAUGCAAGUCCAAAGAAACGCAUUUGAUCAAACUUACUGAAUACUGAAAAAAAAAAUUACAAUCAAAGUACGGAUUAAUAACUACCUCAACAACUAACAGAGCCAAAGCCAAACCCUAGAGCUUCGAAGGGCAGAGACGAUCACAGAGACAAGAAUAGUCCUUAUUCCUUCCCACUGCUGCUGCUGCCACUUUCUCUCUCUAAAAACCAAUUGGAAAUUGUUUAUAAAGAGACAGAGAGGAGAGGGCUAUGAUGAUUGGAUGAAAGAAGCAUGAAAAACUAAAAGACAUGUAAGCUUGAAUUCGAGUCCCAAAUUGAAAAUAUAAGGGAGGAGUGUAAGGGUGGCUUACCGAGGUCAGGAGAGGUGAGUCUCAUAGGAAAAGUCGACGAACAGUGGCAGGAGCCAGUGCACAGUGAAAGGCCUCGCCUGUGUCUCCUGAACAGAACAGAGUGAGUGAUAGUGGUUCUGUGAGAUGGAGCGAGUGGUGGUGGUGCUGUAGUCAUGUUUUGCCGGAAAAUGGAGGCUUUGGUGCGCCUCGGUGUUUACAGAGAAAAGAAAGGGGAGUCCAGGGAGCUAGUGGUUGUUUGAUGGAGUUGAGGCUCGCCGGAGUGGCGAGUUGUGAUGUGGACUCAGGCCUCUCGGCCUCUGGGUUUUACGGAGAAGGGGAAGAUGGUUUAGGGUUGAGAGAGAUGGAGGGACGGCUAGGUUUUAGAAAAGAUGAAGAAGAAUGGGGGUGAGCAGCGCUGGGGCUACAUGUUGAGGGAAAUGAAGAGAGAGCAAGAAGAAGUCGAAGGCAGUGAACCCUACGGACAAAUUUACCCUUCUAAGUUAUAAUAAUUACCCUUCCAACCCAGCCCAAAUCUGAUGGGUUCCUUGUAAAUAAGGUGAAAUCAAGUGGCAAACAAUUGACUGUAGCCAUGAACAGUAAGGAACAGUGCCAAUUGAAAAGCCUUCUUUAGACUAAAGUAAUAAGGCUUUUCAAUUGCACUAUUCAAAUGAAUAGUAACUUGGAGUGGAUUUUAAGUUAUUUACAAAAUUACCAUCAUCUCUUCAUCGCAAAUUGAAAAUUUCGAUUUUUUCACAAAUUACCACCGCUUUUGCACAGUUUAACAGCGCCCACGCGUCAGUCAUCGUGGAAUGCUCUGCUUCGACUACAUUUCCGUCCGUUUCCAUCCCCAUUUCUUUCCCUCUUUUUCUCUCCCGACUCUCUCUCACUGCCCUAUUCUCUCACUCCCGCUCACCAUCUCACUCCAAGCAAUAGAUACAUGAACUCGAUGAGAAGCCACCAUCUCUUAUCUACAAAGCGAAGAAGAACUCAGCAGAUUGUAUGUUACUCCUCCCCAAUUUUUUCUGUAUGUUUUCUUCAAUUAUUUGUUUUUGGGUUUGUUUCUUUCCCGAGAAUAAGAAGAAAGAAACAGGAAAAAUUAAUAUUGGGUAGUUAAUUUAUGUUGGACUGUUAUAUUUAUUCAAGACAUCAGGGGAAUUAGGUACAUAAUUGAUUGAUUACCUGAGUGAAUUUCUUUUAUUUUGUCUGAAAGAUUUUUUUUUUUCUGGGAUUUUGAUGUUUUCUUGAAUUUUACCACUUUGGUCGUGGCUUCCACUCAAAUGUUAAUUUAAUUUACUUUGUUUGGGUAUUAUAGCAAAUUAUAUAUAUAGUUUGCCGUUAUAGUUUGGUCCUUUUUAUGCAGUAGAUUGUAGAAAAAUGAUCAAAAAUAGCUUCAAGCAAGCACAUGAGUUUGGUAAGUUUUGGUGUUCAUACGCUGAAUUUGUUUAUGCUUUGUGUAUUGUCUAUUCAAUUUAUAUCAGUUUCAGAAUUUAUAAUUGUGAUGUUUAUAAGUCCACGGAGUAAGUUGCAUAGUUGUGCGGCAUCUUUUAUAUGCAGAGAAGAGACGUGCUGAAUCUCACUCCGCCAUUCGCCCCUCUGACCUCUCAUGAUCUCUCACACCCUCUCUCUAAUUUCAGAACAAUAUUAAGCAGCUUGAGCUCUCUUUGCAUUGAAUCAAUGGCAGUCAUCUAAGGAUGAUUUUUCUUUGCCUUUUUGUUGGAUUAGUGAAUUUUUAGCUUAAUUUGGGUAGUGUAGGUUCCGUUUUGGCUUAAUUUCGAUUUUCAACUCUAAUAAAAUAUUGGUUUUAGGGAUUUCUUCUUUGUGAUCAUCUUCAUGUUUGAUUGGUGAUUUAGCGUGUGGAUUGUCUACUUCUUUGAUGAAAACUCUCACCGUUGGGACUAAUAUAGGUUUCUCAUAUUUUUUUGCACCAUUUGUGAGGGAUUUAAUUUUCCUUUGUGGGUUUUCUUAUACUCAAGGUAUGAUUUACAUUCUGGAAUUCAUGGUUCAAUUGGAAACCACGAUGACAUAUCAACGUGUGUAGGACCCUUGAUUUUGUAUUAUUUACAUUCCUGCCAUUACCAAAAAGCAUGGGCUGCAGAGAGAGAGGGAGAUAGGCGGGGGAUGGCAGGGAGGGGAAGGGAGAGGGAGGAGUGAGGUUGCUAUAAAAAGGGGUUAUGGUUGAUUUUUUUUUCUCCUCAAAUCAAGGGUUGGUGUCGGGAUUAAGGGAUGUGUCAAAAUUGCCAAUAGAAGCCUAAAUUAAUGGGUAGUUGUCGGUGAUUGAGAGAUUGAGAGGGAGAAAAUUGGGGGAGGUUGUCACUGACCCGAUGGAGUGAGGGAUUUUGUGAGGAUUAACUAACUUAUUGACUAGGAACACAAGACAAGACAUGCUUCCGGUAAACCGCCUCCGUCGCUUUCCUCCUCUCGCCUCCGUCUACCUCCUCUCCCUUUCUUCGUCUCCCCCUCCUCCUCUCUCUCUCUCUCUAUGGAAUCGAUCGAUCUUCGAAGAGGAUAAAAAGAUCUGAAAUGGUGUGCUUCUUCUACUGUGAUUCUGUGUUUUUAAUUUUUCUGGGUUUGGCUUCUUCUUUUAUUCCACUACUAAUUUACAAAAAUAAUGAAUUUUGUACAUUUUGUUUUUAUUUUACUUUUUGUUAUAUUUCAUUGUAAUAUCAAAUAGAGUUGGUAUUUUAAAAUCUCACUGCAAUGUUUUUUGUUAUAUUGUUGGUGGGUAUCUUUAAUUAUGCCCUGAUGGAGAAAGGCAAAGAGGACAGACCUGGAUUUGGGGCAUAAAAGGGAUCUUUAGAUUUCUGUGAAAGUACUUUGUGCCUUUUUGCUAUUGGUGAUGAGUGUUCAUGAAUAUUUAUGCUUUAAUAUAGCUGUUACAGGAGCAAGUUGUUUAGUUAAAAUCCUAAGAAGAUUAGGGUAAAACAUUCCGGCUCUCUCAUUAUUGAUAGUCUGAAUUUCUGCAAUCUCUGAGAUAUAUUUGGGAUAGUUUUAUAGUGAUAUACAUCAAGGUUCAAGAAAAACUUUGCUGCACUGCACUAUAGGAGUAUCUGGUUGAUGAAAUUUUUCUGAUUUAAGCAUUUAGCUCCUCGAUUGCAUUAAAUCAGUAUUUAAAGAAGUUUUUGUCUGAGAAUGCAUUGAUAGAAUUUUUUUUGCCCAAAAAUUAACUCACAGAGCUUCCUGUGAGUUAGUCUUAGCUUUUGAUUUAAUUUUUUUAGAAUUAUUAUCAUUUUUUUUAUCUCUGCUGCUGUUUUGGAUUUUUUUUAAUGAUUUUUAUGCGAUGUUCAUCUGUGUAGGCACUCAAAUUAGUGUUUUGGAGUGCAUAUGGACCAGACACCACAAAAGAGAAAACGGAAACCAAAAUCAGAGCCAUCAAAACAAACAAAUGCUGGUAUGUCCUAAAAAAGGUUGGUUUGUGCACUUUCAAAGAAUACAUGGAAGAAGAUAAUAUUGAUCAUGGUGUAGAAUGUGAUGGUAAUGUGGUUGAAAAAGAUAAAAUGUUGCACGAAAAGAUCUCAGAGCUCAUUGACGAAAAUAUGCAGCACCAGGCUGAGUUGAUAAGGAGAAACAAGGAGAAUAGUGAAACAAUUGAGUGGCUUUUAUCCCAGGUGCAUAAGCUAACGGAUGAGAACAAAAUUUUGAAGAUUAAUCUGGGAAUCCAUAAGGAUACUACUGAUCAUACAAUUGCAAUCCAUAAGGAUGCUACUGAUUAUACAAUUACAAGGCAAAACAAGCCUCAGUUUUCAAAGUCUAAGUCCAUAGGGCCAUCUUUCCCUGGAAGGCUCACUGGAUGCCUAGAACUUGGAUCUUAAUUAGCUACUUUUCAACUUUAGUAGGUAGCGUUAUAAGUUUUCAAAUGUAUCUGUUUAUAUGCUUUCAUAAUACAUGUGAAGAUUCCGAGUCAAUUAUAACAUAUUUUAAUUUUUAAUUUUAUGAGUAUAGAAAAGGAAUUGAAUGCUUCGUUAUUUUGAUCUUGCAGCUGAAGCCAAGUCUGGAUAGAGAGAAAGAUCUCAUGGUAGGAAUCAUGGACUUGAUGAAGGUGAGGUUAACAAAGUGUGCUUUAGCACCAAGAUUGGAAUCUGGGUGUUCUGAGUUUUGUUUUGUUGUGAUUUUUCUAUAAUCUAGAUGCUGAAAUACUUGGAGUUGGAAUUAAUAAGAAUUGAUUGAACAUGGAUUUUUUAUUAGAUUGGUAUGGCUGACAUAGUUAAGAAGUAGUUUAAGAUGCAGUGAUUAGGGCAUUUCUUUAACUGAACAUAUUUGUUUUCAUGAGGUAGAUAGAAUCCUCUGUAAUUUAAUUAAUUAGAUUGAAAUUUGGGGUCUGGAUUCUUAAACUACUAUGGUGGUUAAUGUAGCUUUUUUGGUGAAUUUUUCAAGUGGGGAAAAAGAGGUGGGUGUGGGAUUUAUAUUGUUAUUCUCAGUUGGUAUAUAAAUAUUUGAGUGUGCAAGAAAUGGUUACCAUACAAAAAAUACAAGAACUGAAAUUAGAAGGGAUAAUGGCAGUUUGCAGAGGGUUGGUUCAGGGAUGGUAAAAGUUGUGUACGUGGCGAGAUUAAUGGAGGUGGUUUCGUGGUGGCGUAGUUCUCCGUGAAAAAUGGCGACGGUGGUCGCCUUGCUAUUUCUGUGCAGCGAGCACAGUAUCAAGAGAGAGAGAGAGAGAGAGGUGAGGGAAAUAGGGAGAGUAGUAGAGAGGGAGUGAGACAUGAGGGUGGUGGCAAGCUGGUGCCUUGAGGGAGUGGCGAGUGAGGUGGUGAUAGUUUCUCGAACGGGAGAUUUAUGGUGUACUAGAGAACUUGACUCCUCUCUCAGUCUGGUCUCCGGAAGAGAAAACCAAACAUAGCUAUGCAUUAGCAAAGUUUGAAAUGAGGGUUUUUAAUCUUUGGCAUGCUAUUGUCUUUAUUUGAUCAUUCUUUGAAAAAAAUUAUGAUGGACAAGUGAAAUAAACUGAAUGAAAACUUGGAGAAGAAGUUCUGAUUUUUAAUAUCUUUAAUCCGGGAUUAUUGUGAUGCCCUUUGACAAUUGAAAUGUGAAUGCAUUAUGUUGCUUAGAACACAAGUCAAUAUUUUUUAAACUGUGUUAGGUAUGAUGGAUGCUAUAGAUAGAAAAAUGUUGGCUUAAGGUUGGAUUCCAGGUAAAUAUGUGCUAUCCUGGAUGAUGGAAUUGCAUAGCAUCCUAAGUUUCUUUCUAUAUUUUCCUGAACAGAUUUACUGAAAAUGUUUUUCAAGGAUAUUCAACAAUAACUUUAAUCUUCAGACUUUCUCAUUGUUGCAGUCUCUAAUGCUUUAGUUAAUCCUAUUAGCCUAUUGUUAGAUCAAUUAAAAGAGUGUUUUAGCCUUCUGUUAGUGUUUCAUCUUAUAUACUUUCUCUCAUUGUUAGAUCAGUUGUGAUUCUGUGUGGUUCAUGUUUCCGGGUGUAAAAUUGUUCAUACAAUCUCACUUUUGCAUCUAAUUAGUGAGCCAAAAAGAAAAUUUUUAACAUUUUAAAUCCUAAUUAUCUCUAUUUCAGCCAAUGCAUAUUUUUUCCACCUAAAAGUCUUUGAUGCAUGUCUUCUUUUUUUUUUUUUUAGUAUUGAAACAUACAUUGUUCGAAAUUUGUUGAGCACUUGAAACUUUACAAGUUAAGAUUUGGAAUUUUAUGAUAUAUGAUAACUGCUUUGUAUGUUUGUUGUUGAUUAAGCACGUGGGAUACAACUCGGUCUUAGACACUUAAUAAAGGUUUAUCGUUUGAAAUUAAUGGGGCACAUGUUAUUCUCAUGAUAUUGGCUGCAAAUGCUGCAGAGUGAUUACAGAAACCAACGCAGAAAAAGCUUUAUAGGUAACUUUUACAUUUAUAGCAUUUCAGAAUUCGCAUAAAUACCAGAAAACAUCUUGAAAGACUACCAUUUCAAGUGGAUCUUUUCUUUCAUGUGGAAACCAAGCUUCCUUUUUCUUAACUCAUUCUAUUAAAACUUCAAAUUAUGUUCAAUUUGUUGAUUGGCUGUUAGCACUUAAGUUGAUCUAUUUAUUUCCAAUGUACCCUUUUUUAUGCAUGAGUGCUUUUCUGUUGCAUGUUUAGAAGAUGAAUGCAUCAAUUCUUAGGUAACCUUCUUUUUGUUCUGUGACGUAGGACAGAGUAGGACAGCGGAAAUUAGAUUGUUUAGCGGAAGUGAAACGACAUAAAACUUAAAUUGAAACAUCAUAUGCUUCUGUUUUAUAGGACUGGGGGGGGGGGGGAUAAAAACAGUAUAUUUUGUUGUUGCAUGUUUCAUUUAAUUCAAACUUUCAAAUAUACACUCUCUCUCUUCAUUAUGCACAGUAUGUUGAUGUGAACUGAAUCUAAAUAAUUUGUCUUUCUGUCGAAAAUAUUCAUAGUAUGUCCUGCAUUACAGUUUCAAAACCCACAGCAGCACGUGGGCAAUUUUAUUUUCCCUCUCCCUAUAUGUAGUUUAAUAUAAUUCAACGAGUUCAAAGAGAAUGAUCAGAAUGAAGGUUUGUAUUAGAUCCGAUGUGCUUCCUCUUUCUAUGCAUUUUGGUUCAAAUUAGGGUUUUAGGUUGAAACCCGAAACGAAAAGAGAAUAAAGUUUUCAGGAUGUUCGGAUUUUGUGUUUCGAUGAGAGGAAAAAAUGAGAAAUUUGUUAAGAAAAGUUGUGGUCGGAUUUUACAUGUUUACCGUUUUCAAGGUACGGUGUUCAUCGAUCUUAACUUUAAAUUUGUUUCUCAAUUUUUUUGUAGUUUUGGAUUUGUAAAAACCCUCGAUUGAAUCGGGUGCUGGUAUGGUCCCUUACAGGAAAAAAAAGUUUCAUUUUUUUCCCCUUAAAAUUUUAGUUUUUGUUAUUUUCUUUUUUCUUCACAAAGGAACUUAGGUGGUAGCUGUAUUACUAAUUAGCUACAGAAUUUAUAUAUUCUUAUGAGUACGGUAUGGGUGCAGGUUUGCUAUGUUGCUUUUUGGGAUGAAAUUACUUUAAAUACAAAGGAAAAUUUGAUCGAUAUUAUUGGGUUGUACGCAGAAAUCUAAGUUUUACCUAUUUUGAUAAUGCUUGGUUUUUGUGUAUUGAGUUGGAUAGACAGUUCAUAGGUUUGGUUCCAUAUUUAUUCGGAGAAGAAAAACACAAAGAGGGCAACACAAUAACCCUAGGAUGAUUAUAUAUGGAAUGAAUUAAAUCUAUUAACGAAUUAUAUUUUGGGUGGUGUUAGGGAGAAACGCCUACACUCCAAAUAUUUAUGAAUUGGAUUCAUUAUAAAAUAGGUAAAUUGUAUGCAUUACUUCUUUUGGCACUAAAUCUUUUGUUAAAUUUUAUUUUGCUGACUUUUAGUUUUUGACUUUCCUUUGGCAGGACUUUUAAUUAAGCAUGCAUCUUUGGUGUAAUAUUAUCAUAUUCUUGAGGUUUGAAUUUUUUACUCUUACUUUUGUGACCAUUAUAUGUUUGCGUAUCUCUCUUUUGGGUUAUCCAUCAAUUAAAAAUUAUUAUGUGAGGAUUUUGAUUGUUGACUUAUCAUUGGUAUAUUUCAAGUGGUUUUUGAUAUUUUGAUAGGUGUUGGAAAAAAAAGAUGAAAUUGUUUUGCGCUCAACGCAUAGUUAAUCUUAAAAUAGGGUUUAUUAAAUUGGUUUGAUGAUAUAUAGGUGGUAACAAAUUAAUGAUGUCAACUCCUACAAGGAAGAGGCUGAUGAGAGAGACUUCGAGAGGCUGCAACAAGACCAGCCUGCGAGGAUUAGUGGGGCGCCUCAGGAUAACAAUAUAAUGUUGUCGGCGAGGUUAGUUAUUUUUUAGGCUUUGCUUCUACAAACGUGAACUCUUUACAUGGAAACCGAAUUUUAUGUGAAUUUUAAUAGUUAUAUAUCAAACUCCUCUGCACUGAACUCUGUGUAUUACAACAAUUAUAAUUAGAACUUGGAUGAAAUGGGCUCCAUCCAGCAAAACUCCUGCCCUAACAAUAAUAAUUAGAACCAAAUUUGAUAAUUUCUCAUAGUUUAGGCCAUUUGGCCAAGUCAGAAUGAGAAACAUAGAUGUUUUCUUUAUCUUAUGCUAUUUGUUUGGCUGUAAAUCGUAUGGAGUAAAUCUCAUGGUGUCAUUCUAAAUAAACUGGAAAUAUGUCUCAUGCAAAAUUAAUGUUGAUGUUUAUCAAUGGAAAUAAGUUUUGAAGUGAUUACCUUUCUUUAUACAAGUUCUCUUCACAAUGAAACCUAUAUUAUAGUGUCACUUUUACUUGCUUUCGCACAAAAGGGGUGUCUGGACAUGUAAUUGGCGUGUCAUUACUCACUAAAUCUUUUUUAUCCUUAUCUUCUAUAUUAAUAUCACCAUUUUUUUGGGUGCUCAUUGAGUGGUUUGGCAGGUAAUAGAUAAAGGUUUUAAUGCAUUCAUUUAAUGUUAUUACAGAUCUGCUAAAUUCUUCAAGAAGUCCGGUUUACAGAACUGAAGCUGUUUAAGCACAAGGUGUCCCAGUUUAUAGAUGAGGUAUUAUAAAAUUUAAAAAGCGUCAAUAUUAUCAUUACUGAUCCUUAACAUUUAACUAUCAAAGCUUGAGUUUAUAAUAAUUAAUUCUUCACUGAUGAUAUGUUGUGAUGGGGUUUAGUAAUUUUCAGUAUUCUUCAAUUCUUUUAAUCUGCAAAAUCAAAUAGCCCAUGGAAUUUAUGGCAUACAAUUAGUUUCCUUUCAGUUGGGUUGAAAUGAUAUUGAUUGUGUUGUUAUGAAGCUCCUUUUUAUAGUUAGGUUGAAAAUCAUAUUGAUAGAUUCUUUAUUUGGUUGGUCCUAUCUGUAACAAAUGGGAUUGUUUUGUUUGAUGUUUGAAUCAAAAUUUGAUCUUUUUUUGUGUGAAAUUAUGAUGGAAUCGCAAAUUUGUGAGGUAUAUCUUAGAUUAUUGGUUGCAUAGUCACCUUCCCACAACUAUCACAUUGUCUCUUGACUAGAUGAAUUUUUAUAAUUUCUAGGAUCUACGGUUGCAAUGCUUUUGAUGCAUGCAAUCAGGAGGAUGCUACUACUCUUAUGGAGCUUCUUUGGCAUGGUAAGUUGAAGUUGCAUAGCAUUUUUUUUUCGUUCACGAAAUUCGUUAUCUUGCUAUCCUGGCAAUUAGCAGUGUCUGACAACUGGUGAAGUAUAUGAAUAUAUGUGGAAGUUUGAAUUAUACAAAUGAAAGUGAACUUUUAACAACUCUAACUUAGAAUUUUUAUUAAUUUCUUUCAUUUGUGUUCGACUAUUUUACUUUUUUGGUAUAUAAGUACAACUAUAGAUCGAAAACCACAUAAAUUACCUAACAGCCAAGGAAUUGUUUGUGGUAGAACAUAACAUGAUGUAAAGCUCAAAUUUUGGGCACUUAAAUAUAUGUUUUUUUUUUUUCAAUUACAAUCAGUCAGCAUGAAAGUUCAAUUGGAUUUGUUCUGGUCUCCAAAAAUUUUUCUUUGUUUGGUUACCGAUUAAUUUAUGUGGUGAGAGUUUAGUUUUUGCUUUUCUGCCUAUGUAUAUAUGAUUUGAAAUGGACAAUUCAAUUUUCUAUAUAUAAAUUUGUAGUCGAAGAGUUCGAAGGAGAGGUGAAUUAGAAACAAUGGGGGGAAGAGUGAUGGAGUUGAGGAGUUGAGAGUUAAUGAGGUAUACUUGAAUUUCUGUAUGAUGUCCUUGGUAUUGGGAGAUCAUUGAGACUAACUAUCUGGUUGAUUAAUCACGAUGUCCUUGGUAUUGGGAGAUCAUUGAGACUAACUAUCUGGUUGAUUAAUCACUAAUUUGAACUAUUUGUGCUUGGAAAAUUAGCUACUUGAACAAGUACUGAACGCUUUCUAUGUUUUCUCUUAUUAACUGCUGAAAUAGGUGCCUGCCCUAUAGGACACAUAUUUUGCCUUCUUAACUACAAGGGAAAAAUAUGUGUGAAUUGCAUGUUGCUUAUGUUUCUUAUGGAAACAGAACUUUUUUUGGCAACCAUGUCUUUGUGAUCAAGAAUGUUCAGUUUCUUCCUACUAAUUGUGCAAUGUCUUUACAUGUCAACUUAGUGGAAUGUAUAUAAAAGUCAAACUACUUAUCUUAUCGAUCUCAUUCACUCAUGUGUCCCUCUGUUCAUUCAUGAUUGUGUUGAAUUUUUUCAGGUAAAAUGUGUCUUAUUCAUGCAGUUACGCCUGAAAUAGUGGUUCCCACUGCAACACGUGGGCUUAUUUUCUAGUUAUGUCUAUUUUUGUCAUUAUACAAAAUUUCCAAAAUUUUACAUUAGUAUUUACCAAACGCUUUUAUACUACUUUUCAUACUUACAGCAGUUUUAAAAAUACAGUUUACCAAACGUUCAGCUGCUUUAUUUUACAGCUGAUUAUUCUUAAAGCACAACUGUUGACCCUAAAAACUACAAAGCCUACGUGGCGCGCAGGCCGAGUAAUUAAUGAGCUAACUACGUCCUUCGGUGAAUGCGGGGCGUGCCAACUCGUCGGCCGAGCUCGGCCGAGGAGUAAAUUUGUUGAUGUUGCGUUGGGUCGCGCUACUGACUUCUGCGUCUUGCCAUUGCGGCCGAGAAAGGAACACGUCUCGGCCUCUUGGGCUCUCGAACCUGAAGACAAGGUUACUAUUCUUACGAAGUUCAAAAUCAAAUUCGGCUUUCAAUGUGCCGAAUGUAAUAACUGUAACACCUCACUUCGCCGAGAAGGCUGAUGAGAUGACCUCGACCAAUAAGGAUUUAGAAACCCUUCUCGACCGAGACUUGGAUAGGUAAUCAAUCGUUCUCGCCGCAGUGCUGUUGAUGCCAACGGAAGGUACUGCGAGACCGACUGACUCUACAGUGACAGAGCUAUCUAUGCCGACUUAAGAUAUCACCGGUUGCUUCCACAGUGCUGUUGAUGCCAACGGAAGAUGUGUCAGUGAAAAAGGAAAAAGAAAAAUCACAAGUUGUGAGAGUUUGCGCAGGGCAAUUUUGUAUUGAUUUUGUGGGUCUCGUUCCGUUGCCACUGCCUCUCUAUUUAUAGAGCUAACUUAGCAUAAAACCCGGCCGUGACCAUCAAUCACCACCACAAAUAAUAAUCGUUACGCGAGGAUGAUUAUCCAAUGAGAAUCGUAGCACUCAAAUCUCUUUGGUGCUAACGCAUUUCAGCCAAAACCACAUAACAAAUCAUGGCAUGCCAAUUCCGUCUUUUGCUAAAGAUAAGCAUUGUCGUUCAAAUCCUAGUCCCAAAGCCCUGGCAUAUCAAGCUUUAUCCAUAGGAUAUUCACUUCACCUAUUUGGCAACCUUGAAUUUGCUAAUAAUUAUCCCAUGCAUGCAUCACAUUAGCUUACGUAAUUAAUCUUUCAAGUUGGACUCCACCUUGAUCACCAACUGAUGCCACCACGUGCUAGGACUCUUCUCAUAAUGCAUGAUGCUUAAUCCCCGCGUCGAAUGAUAAGAAUCCCACAUUAAAUCGAACUGUUCUGCUUGCUUCGGUAUAGUUUGCGUCACAUUUAUCUUGUAUAAAAAGUGUCAAGAUAAUUCAUUAUUAAAAGAUCAUUAUUAUGAUUAAAAAUCAUAAUAUUAUCCCCUAACAACAAUAAAAUUAUCUUAACUUUCCUAUCCGACGGUGUGGAGCAAUGCUCACUCAACGGCCUUGAUCGCACGGGCCGAUGAUGUAAAUUGAGGUCCAAACAACAACAGAAGCAGUUUUAAAAAUAAGAACAGCAAUCCCAAACUGGCCCUUAGUCGAGGCGAGUCCUCCUUUGUCCCAUUGAACUUAGUCCUGCCAGUGAACAAACACGGAUUACACUACCUUUUAACUUAAGCUAGUCCAGUGAGAGCUAAAAAGGCAAACAAACAUCCCCUUAAUCGUUUCUGUACAGAGACUGCUAAAGAAACAGCAUGAUCAAAAUCAAAGAAUCAUGAGGCGGCCCCAGCAAGCCCCUCAGCGGCUCUACGUCCCUCCGUCGUCGCGCGACGGAAACAGCCACGACAACUACGAAGACACCGACCUCGACAACAUCGAUUACGACGACAACGAUGGUUCCAAGGACCCCGGGAGUGACGACAACAACCACGGCAACGCUGGCAGCGGUGAUGAAGAAGUCGAUCCUCUGGAUGCUUUCAUGGAGGGGAUUCAUGCGGAGGUGAGGUCAGCUCCGCCGCCGAAGCUGAAAGUGAAGGCCGAGAAGUACAGGGACGAUGAGGAGGAGGAUCAUAUGGAGAGGUUUCUGAGGGCUAAAAGGGACGUGGUGCUCACGCUGGCAUCAGAUGCUUUACACACCAGAUAUGACUCCGAUGAAGAGGUAUAUGCGACCGCCAAGGCCGUCGAUGCCGGGUUGUUGGAGUACGAUUCAGAUGAUAAUCCCAUUGUUCUGGACAAGAGGAAGAUCGAGCCGAUUUCAGCUCUCGAUCAUAGUUCAAUCGACUACGAGCCGUUUAAUAAGGAUUUUUACGAGGAGAAAGAGUCGAUUUGAGGUAAAUUCCAACCGAACUGAGAAUUUGGUUUCUUUCUUUUUUUCUUUCCAUUCACAUUUGUUUUUUAAAUUUUUGUGUGAAUUUAGUCGAAAUGCGUAGCAAAGUAUUUAAAUUUAAGUGGGAGAGAAUAUUGACCGGUAGAAGUUCUCAAGGAGAGAUUUGAAAUGGAAGACUAGAGUUAACUGGUGUUUUGGUUUCCUUGUUUAGGGAUGAGUGAGGAGGAUGUUUUUUAGUACAAGAAGAGCUUGGCCAUCCGUACGUCGGGGUUUGAUGUACCGAGGCCAGUUAAGACAUUUGAAGAUUGUGGAUUUUCUUCACAACUCAUGGCUGCCAUAAAAAAACAAGACUACCAAAAGCCGACACCAACACAAUGCGUAGCUCUACCCAUAGUUCUUUCCCGGAGAGAUAUAAUUGGUAUUGCGAAAACUGGUUCUGGAAAGACUGCCACUCUUGUCCUUCCAAUGAUUGUCCACAUUAUGGAUCAGCCAGAGCUUCAAAAAGAAGAAGGUCCAAUUGGAGUGAUAUGCGCUCCUACUAGAGAGCUGGCGCACCAAAUAUACUUAAGAGUCCAAAAAAAUUGCAAAAUCACAUGGGAUACGUAUCUCUGCUGUAUAUGGUGGAAUGUCUUAAGCUUGAUCAGUUCAAAGAACUUAAGGCAGGAUGUGAAAUAGUUUUUGCUACUCCUGGGAGAUUGAUCGACAUGCUUAAAAUGAAGGCACUGACAAUGCUUAGGGCAACUUACCUAGUACUUGAUGAGGCUGAUCAGAUGUUUGACCUUGGGUUUGAGCCUCAAAUUAGAUCUAUUGUUGGUCAGAUUCGGCCAGACCGACAGACAUUGCUCUUUUCUGCGACAAUGCUCCGUAAAGUUGAAAAAUUGGCUAGGGAGAUUCUCUCAGAUCCUAUAAGAGUUACAGUGGGUGAGGUGGGAAUGGCCAAUGAGGAUAUCACUCAGGUUGUUCAUGUAAUUCCUUCUGAUGAUGAGAAGCUGCCCUGGCUUUUUGAGAAGUUACCAGGAAUGAUUGAUGAGGGUGAUGUUUUAGUAUUUGCUUCAAAAAAAGCUGCAGUGGAUGAGAUCGAGUCACAGCUUGCUCAGAAAGGUUUUUAAGUCACAACUCUGCAUGGUGACAAGGACCAAGCAUCUCGGAUGGAUAUUUUGCAAAAAUUUAAAUCUGGCAUUUACCAUGUUCUUGUUGCAACUGAUGUUGCUGCUCGUGGUCUUGACAUCAAGUCAAUUAAGUCAGUUGUGAACUUUGAUAUUGCAAAAGACAUGGACAUGCACAUCCAUUGAAUUGGUAGAACAGGUCGGGCUGGUGAUAAGGAUGGCACUGCGUACACUCUUAUUACACAGAAAGAGGCACGUUUUGCUGGUGAGUUGGUUAAUAGCUUGGUUGCUGCUGGUCAGAUUGUCUCCACGGAGCUCAUGGACCUUGCGAUGAAGGUAAUUUUGCAUUACUAUUAACAUUUUUUUUUUGUGGUUUAUAUAGCGAGUUUAUACAUGCAUCCAACUACUUGCCUUUUUGUUUUAGAGAUGGUGGUUAUAACCUUAGUUUGUAAUCCUAUAAUGCAUUUAAGGCGAAUACAAGUUAUUAAUAUGUUCUCUGGUAAAACGUGCUCUUUUUAAUGCAAUAUGGAUUCUGGACAAUUACACCUACUGGUGUUUGUCUCACAAAUAAACUACGUUAUCUUCACUCUACUAUAUAGGUGCAUAGGUUGCUUCUGAUUUAGAGUGCGCUUUCGAGAGAGAUGGAUUUGAUGACCAUUUGGUCUUCAAGGCCUUAUUUUGGAAAGCUUUAGUAUGUCCUUGGAAUUACAGGGAUCUUGAGAUCGUUGACUUCAUAACGUCAAGAUAGUCAAUUUCAGGAAAUGUGCUUAGUUUAGGGAGAGAGUAAUUAGACAGUCUUUAGUAGUCCCAUCUUUACUUCAUACCAUGCUCUGCUUAGAAAAGGGGUUGUUGGGGGUGUAUGUUGGCUUGUUGGGUUGUGGAUUGAAGCAUAGAGAUGACUUGAAGAUGAAGCUCAGUCUGGGGACGUAAUAACUUUUGUGUAUUAUUAAGUACUCGCUUGCAUUCUGGGCUACCAAUACAUCGGUUGAGGCCAACCAAUUUGCAUUUAAGAACUAAGAGAAAAAUCGCAUUUUAAGUACUAAAUCUUAAUUACCACAUGGACCCUUAGUAAAUUGUCACUUAUUUUCCCUUGUGCCAAUAUAUCUCAUAGACAUAAAUGCACAGCUUAUCAUGAUAGGUGGCUGCACCUGCAUUAGUUUUAGAAGUUUUACACUAUGAGAGCCACUCAUGCAUCAUUUCUUCAGUCUUGUGACUUUUAAUUCUUGCCUUGCUGCUUGUAGCUUUGUAUUUUAUAUCCAUCAUAAAUACACUGGUUUCCAUCUCCUACAUGGAUGUGCAGUUAUUUUGGGUGCACCUUGUCUGUGGAACUUUUGUUGCUUUCCCUUACUAUGUUUCUUGUUUGAUAGCUUUAGAUGUUAUGUUAGAUUUCAGAUUUUACAUUCUCUAUUUUAAUGGGAUUUACCUUGUUUAUUAUCAGGAUGUUAGAUUCAUAUCAAAAUGUGAUUCAAGAAAAGGAGUUAUAAACUUUAAUCAUAUUAAAAUUUCAAUUUUCUUAAGGUUCUUUUGCAAUUUCAUAUUAAAUAAGCCUUUUUCUACAAUUCAAAUGAUGAUAUUAUAUGGAUUCUGCAGGUGGAAAGAAAGGUAGAGGGAGGGGCGGCGGUGGUCGAGGUGUGCGUGGGGUGGAUUUUGGUCUGGGUAUUGGAUAUAAUACGGAGUCCAAUAGUUCUUCAUCGAAUACUGUUCCUAGUCGAUCUGUUGCAGUAACUCCUCAGAGGACAGGAAUGAUGUCUCAGUUCAAGACUAAAUUUGUUGCCGCUUCAUCUAACUCUCCAAGUCAAGGUUCAGCUAACAGCUCUAGUGUGCCCAACAGACAGGCAUUACGAGGAUUUGUAUCCGGUGGUUCAAUAGGUGGUGAUGUAUAUAGAACUCAGGCAACCAGUACAAUUACUCCUGCUCCUGCUCCAACAUCAAUGGUAAAUAAAACUGCUACUCCGAACACUGGACAAAAUUCAAGUCAGAAACCCUCCGAAAGGUUAAUUAAACUGAUGCUUGGUUAGAAUUUUUUAUGUCUUUACUUAUUUGAUUGGUGUUGAGCAGUUUCAUUUGUGCCGAUUGCAGUUCUAGAGAUAAACCCAGAGAAAGGCGGAGGCGCUCCGUUUGGGACUGUUAACCGUACAGUUGAACUACACCACUCUCGCAUAAUGAAUUACAAGUUUUACUUUUGUUGUAGGUCAAGUCCUGAUAUUCCUAUAUUAUUGUUGAUCUUUGUCACUUUCUUUGUCGCUCUGUUUAUAAGUUAAAAGAAACAGAAGAUUUUGUAAACUCAGAUCGACUUGUUGCACAAAUAGUGGAUGAUUUAAAACAUAGACUGUUCGUAUCAUUAAAAUACGUUAUGAAGUAGAUUCUACAAAAAGUUGUGCCGUGUAAAAAAAAUUGUGAUGUUUCACAUGUGCUCCGUAUGUUAUUUAUAUUAAUCAUUCUGAAUUACAUCAUAACUCAACGACUUGGUAUAUAAUACAAUAAGGCCUUGUUGGAUGUCAAUGAUUUGAUUGGUUAUGACUGGAUUAGAUUGGCUUAGUUUGGAAAAUUCACUAGAUUCAGUGAAUGUUGAAAGAAAAUAUGGAUUGCUAUUUUGUUCAAGUGAAGAUGGAAGAGAAAAAGAAUAAGACAAGUAUAACAAAUCAAAUAUUGACGGAGCAUGCAUAGGUUUUUAAUUACAACUAUUCGUCAAUUGGUGCUUAUAAUUUUUGGUUUUAAAUGCUAUUAUCUCUUAAAUAAAAUAAUUAUGUUGCUUUAGUCUCCUCAUCGUAUUAUACGUGUCGAAUUCGUGUGAAGUCUGGUGGGACAAGAGAGAGAUAAGGAGGUUGACUUUGAUCAAUUGACCUCCUUUCCAUAGCCAUUUUUCUUUACCUUCAUCCCCUUACACAAAGUCCAUUCUUAAGAUCUCUAGUUCUCUCUCAAUGGCUGCUAAAAGUUCCCGAGAUUCUUCUUCGUCCUCUUACCAGUGUUCCUAUCAUGCCUUCUUGAGUUUCAGAGGCCAGGACACGCGCAGGGGCUUUACUGAUCACCUCUAUAGAGCUUUGGAGCUAGCAGGAAUCCACACCUUUAGAGACGAUGAUGAAAUCAAGAGAGGGGAGAAUAUUGAGUCGGAGUUAGAGAAGGCGAUAAAGGAGUCACAAGUAUCCAUAAUUGUCUUCUCCAAGGACUACGCUUCCUCAAGGUGGUGUUUGAACGAACUUCUGAAGGUCGUGGAACGUAGAAAUACUGAUCGUAGACAUGUGGUUCUGCCAGUUUUCUAUGAUGUGGAUCCAUCCGAUGUCAGGAAGCAGAGUGGUACUUUUGCUGAAGCAUUUGCCAGACACGAGGAGCGAUUCAGUACGGAGGAGAUGGACAAGGUGGAGCUGUGGAGAAGAGCUCUUAGACAUGUUGCAAGUUUGGGAGGCAUGGUUUUAGGAGAUCGGUAAUUUCUAUUCUCAUUAUGUUCUCACGCUAAUUGAAAGUGUCUUUUAAAUUAAGUAAAAUUGUAGAUGGCAGUGAAACUUGAAGUUGUUCGCCUAUAUAUACUGCAACUUUGAUUUAUAUGUUCCUAUCGAUUCAAAUGAAUUACAGGUAUGAGGGGCAGUUCAUCCAAGAUAUUGUUGGAGAGAUUAGAAAUAAAGUGGAUCACGUAGCUUUAGACGUCGCUCCCUUUGCAGUUGGAAUGGAUGCUCGUGUGAGACGCCUAAACAUGUGGUUACAAGAUGGAUCAAAUGAUGUUGGUUUAGCUGUCAUCUGUGGGAUGGGUGGAAUUGGCAAGAGCACCAUCGCGAAAGCCGCUUAUAACCGCAACUUUGAUAGAUUUCAAGGUAGCAGCUUUCUUGCAGAUAUACGAGAAUCUUCAGAACAACCCAAUGGUUUUGCUCUCUUGCAAAGAAAACUUCUUUCAGAUAUCCAAAACGGGAAAGCAAAGAAAGUAUACAAUAUGGAUGAAGGAACAAUCAGGAUCAAACAAGCCGUAGGUUAUAAAAAAGUUCUUAUUGUUCUUGAUGAUGUGAGCAACCGGGAUCAACUCAAUGCAAUUCUUGGAAUGCGAGAGUGGCUUCAUUCAGGAAGUAAAAUUAUCAUAACAACUCGACAUGAACAUUUGUUAAAUGCUCACGAUGUUUUUGAAAAGUUUAUGGUUCAAGAACUGAAUGAGUACGAAUCACUUGAGCUUUUCAGUUGGCAUGCCUUCAGACAAUCCCAUCCGGAAGAAGGUUACAAGGAGCUUUCAAGACAUGUGGUGCAGCACUGUGGAGGGCUUCCUGUAGCUCUUCAAGUUCUGGGAUCUUCUCUAUCUGGAAAAAGUGUAGAAGUAUGGCAAAGUGCAUUGCAGAAGUUAGACGUGAUCCCUAAUGACAAAAUUCAAAAAGUUCUGAGGAUAAGUUUUGAUUCUUUACAGGAUGAUCAUGACAAAAAUUUAUUCCUUCAUAUAGCCAGUUUCUUCACAGGAAAGACGAUGGAUUAUACAAGUACAAUGUUGGACAGCUUAAAGUUUUACACAAGGAUUGGGAUUGAAAAUCUAGUUGACAGAUGCCUAGUGAAAAUUCAAGGCUCGAACAGGUUGUUGGUCAUGCAUCAAUUGGUGAGAAACAUGGCAAUGGAAAUUAUUUGUGAAGAAUCACCUGAUGACCCUGGAAAACGUAGUAGAGUGUUGCAGAAAGAUGCCUCUAAUAUUUUGAGAAAAUUAAGUGUAAGAACUAUGUUUUCAUGUAUAUGUAUUUUUAGUUAUGAUUUGUUGUCCAGUACUAGUUAUAUACUUAUUCAAUGCUCUGAUUUGUUAGCAGGGUACGGAAAAUAUUAAGGGCCUCAUGCUUAACCUUGCUAGCAAAAUAACGUUUGUUGGAUGUCAUAAAAAACGAUGCCAUGAUGAAGAUUAUGAUGGAAAUUGUUCAAGACGACGUCGUCUUGGUUUCUUCUCUUGGAAGCCAGUUAGCUUUCCGUCCACAAACUCAGCUUCUGCAUCAAAUGAGAUAGAUUUCAAAUCUGAGGCGUUUAGAAGGAUGCACAAUCUUGAAAUUCUCAUGCUCAACAACGUCAACGUCAGGGGAAGCUACGAAGAAUUUCCAAAAAGUUUAAUAUGUUUAUCUUGGAGAGGAUUCCACUUAAAAUCAGUACCAGAAAAUUUUUAUUUGGAAAACCUGGUUGUUCUUGACAUGCGAAAUAGUAGCCUACAACAUGUUUGGAAUGGGAUCAGGGUACGUAACUCUCUCUCUCUCUCUCUCUCUCACUCACUCUCACACACACUUUCUCUCACACAUGUCCAUUAUAUCUUCUUAGAAAUUGAUUAAUACUUCUUAUUGAAAACAGUUCUUUCCGAGGCUGAAGAUUCUUAAUCUCAGUCAUUCGCAUGGCCUUAGGACAACCCCUGACUUCUCAGGACUCCCUAACCUUGAGAGAUUGAUUCUUAAACAUUGCAUAAAUUUGGUUGAGGUUGAUGA